This 55210-nucleotide long non-coding RNA is filed under the name Phoenix dactylifera (date palm). RNAcentral's name for it is "long non-coding RNA (PDAC_LNC001082)". The record is from RNAcentral. Lineage: Eukaryota; Viridiplantae; Streptophyta; Magnoliopsida; Arecales; Arecaceae.
UAUACUAAUUGCAGCACUUAAGGUUUCAUGCAAUUUUUGUACCUGAUCAUCUCUAGGGCCUUAUUGGUGCAUGCACAAAGUGGAAUGGCUUGUUAAGGAAGAAGCCUUUCAUUAUGGAGAUUGUAGCUCUAAUUGAUCUACAGCUUUCCAAAUUAUCUAGGAGAAGCACAAAGCAUUUUUACUAGGUGCAUAAUAAGGCCAAUGAGAGGGGCUGGCAGCACCUAGUGUGUGCCAGGGUUUGCUCUCCACUUCUCUCGUAGGUUGAGGGUGUGUGUGUGUGAGAGAGAGAGAGAGAGAGAGUCCUUGUAUGAUUUGGAAAAACUCUGGCACAACAUUGUGCCGGAUUUUGGCUUCUUGGAUUUAGACCUAUAAAAACAAAUCAAAUCUCAGAUGGUGCAUUCCAUCAAAUUAAAGAAAUGAUUUUAAAAAAUAAUUGCAAAUGAAGCUAAUUUGGAAAACAAACCUGGACAACCUUUUCCAGAAUUCCAAACAAACUAUGCCUGAGAGGAACUGUGCAUUGGGUUAAUAUUGAUAAGGUUGGAGCAACCAUAUAAAUACCUAGCCCCCAUUAUCCUGAACAAUUUUUCGACCCAUGAGUCCCUUGUAUAUGACACAGAAGGGCCAACCAAGCUACAACAUUGAUCACAGCAAAUGUCUAUUUGAUGUCUCUCAGCACUUCUGUGGUUUCAUUUUCACUAAAGCGAUGGACAAAAGAACAGCUUAUCUUUAUAUUCUUAUCUAUCAUGCCAUACUCCAUAUGUAAGAAAUUUGAUAUAAAAAGCAAAAGGUAUUCGUUUCUGUAGCAACUUCCAUUUAAAACACAUUUAAAAACCCAUAUUUCCUUAAGGAACCAUGAUCUNNNNNNNNNNNNNNNNNNNNNNNNNNNNNNNNNNGGCCUGUCUUGAUGCAUGCAUGCUGUCUCCGUGGAUAUCCAACUAUUGUGCAACCGGGGGAUGCCUGGAUUGCACAAUUUCCCCAAAAAGAGAAAAAGAAAGGGUGUUGGAAUCCUUUUAAAAGGUGAUUUCUACUGUUCCUAUUUUCUUUGGAUGAUGCAAUCCCUGCAUCUGCAGUUGCACUAACUUUUUUUUUUUUUCCUCCCUGCAUCUACGCCCCUGCUCAACUUUAGUCUAUACAUGCAAGUGUGUCCAAAUAAGCCGACCAACUUAUUUGAAAUGCAAAAUAAACACAUCUUUGGAACAAUUUCAGUUGCGAAAGCAUGGAAAAAUAUAUCAAAAGCAAAUUUAAUUAUAAAAUAUUUAAAAGCAUGGUGUUGAUAUUAGAAUCAACCUUUUCCAAUUCAAAUUUGUUGGACAAUAGUCUCUUGAUGCCACUCCCAUCAAAGGUGUUUUCACUGUGGGCAACGAUGACAGGGUGUCCUUGGAGGUGCUGGAUGAUGCUGUUCAAAAGCUUCUUAAAUUCUUCUAAGAAGAUCUCUUGAGAAGCAGGCUGUUCAAGCCGGCCGGUAGAAAGUGAUUGUAAUGCAGGCUCCACAAUGUUGCUCAUGACCUAAAAUGCAUAAAAAAUAUGGCUUGUUAUAGAAAUACAAAGCCAUAGAAACAUGUCACGAGCUUCUAAGUUUGAUGGAUCUGUGUUCCCAUGGUACGCCAUACUGCAUACCGUACAAAUUUGGUGCUGGUACAUGGUACAGAAGACGUACCGAUACUCAGUAUACCGAACAAUCUCUUAUACCGGGCAUACCAGUAUAGUGACAUGAUGGCACUGAUAUAGAACUCAGUACCAAGACAACGUACCAUGCAUGUUCCACUAUGAAGAUAUGGGGUCAUAUGCUGCAAAUAAGCAGACUAGAUGUGCUUAAUAGUCCUCGCAACAUUGAGGAAAAGUGUAAACGUAGUAACUCCUUAUCAUAUCAUAGGCAAGAUAUGAGUGCAAGUGCAUAUAGAGAUAUAUUAAGUGCUCUCAAUUACCCAAGAGUCAGAAGCUGGUGGCAUGCCAUGCUCAACCGUGAGUUGUUGAAGACCCACUGUCAAGAGCUUGUGGAGAGACUCAUUUGCCGACUCCACUGAGAAUAUGGCAAUUGCCUCUGGUUCAAAUCUUGGGCUCUCAACAAACUCCUUCAGAUCUUCUCCAUCAAUCCUCAAGAUCACGAUUGGAUCCCUUUUAAGCCCAGCUGCCAUGCCCAACAAAAUAUCAGAAAGCACCUCCUUGAACUCGGACUUGCUCGCUACUUCUCGCUUUCCAUGUGUGAAUUCAUUCAAAACCUUCAGAUAAUAGUACAGAGCCAUCAUCGCUUACGUAGAUUAAUGCACAAAGAUUAUAAGUUAAAUAAAUUCUACCCUUACUCAUUCUCCAUUUGGGAAGCUAAAUUUGCAAAUUGCAGAGAAUGUAGAAACAGAGCUAUAAGAAUCAUAUUACAAGAUGCCAGUCUAUGGUGAUCACCAUCUCAAAUCAAAAUACAGACUGAAUCCAGGCUGUUUAAUGGUGAACAAAAGAGAGCAUUACUUGAUCAUCUCAUCCAUAUGGUAAAGAAAGUCUUGCAUCGAUCCAGGCUAAGCAUGGAGUAUAUCCUACAAUAGGUCUGGUAGUGGCUAAAAUAAGCUGAUGGAUAUUCCAUUCAGUGGAUGGAUGUAGAUUAAACAUACUCUUUAGAUAUAUGCACUUGGAGAUGAUCUGCUUGUUUAGGUGCUAGGUACUUAGUUUCAUUUCUGAAGUGCAAAUCAAAAUUGAUCCACAGCAUUCUUUUGCUAAGGUGAUUUUUAAGGUUCACAGUUCAUUUGUGCUUUCACUAUGACCCGCACAAUGUGAGACAUUGGACCAAACCAAAAGGAAACAACUUGCCACAAUGAUUCUGUUCUUUUUCCAAGGGCAAAUUAUAUCCUGCACCAUAUGCAUCAACAUAACCAUGCACCAUAUUAUCCCAUUUUUAUGGGUCAUCAUGGAGCCUUCAGAUAUAAAAUGUUCUGAUUGGUGCGGUGCACGGCCAUAUGGUGCGUGCGGUCCAAGAUAUAAUAAUUUUUCUUUUUUAGGACAGGUAGAGCAUGAGUUGCAUCACUGCCAUGUAACCCUGAGAAGACAUGUUGCUGGUGCAAAAUAUAAUAAUUUUUUUAUUAUUAUUUGAGAUGCCGUUACAUUCCAAAUGGUUUGAAAUUUCGCGCAGGCACCUUCCAGAACGACCCAGCCGUGUGGUCAGGAAUUGUUGGCAGUUGGAAACCUAAGUAGAGGAUUUGUCGUUAAUCGCCGUAACCCCAAAUAUCCAAAAGCGUCCUAAUUUCAGCAGGGCCCACUCCAUACGCACAUGACGCAAACUCCAGGUGUCGGCUUGGUGGCCCUAUUAAGACUAAACUGUACAGUAGCCUAAUCAGCUGAUUCGCUCUAAUAUCCGGAUGGAGAUGGGACAAAGAGGAGGAGAAUAUUCCGAGGAGAUGGUGGUGGUGGUGGUGGUGGAGAGGGGUACCUCAGAGUAGAUGUGGUCGGAGUCCGGCGAGGUGCCCUGGGCCGAGAGGCCGAGGGCGGCGCCGAUGUUGACAACGGCAGGCUGGAGCUCCUCGAGGGAGAGCUUGCCGUCAUCGUUGACAUCCAGCUCCUGGAACUUGUGCUCCACGAAGCUGGUGAAUGCCUCCUUGUUCUCCACCAGCUUCCUUAUCUUCGUCCCGUCCAGCACCACCUUCUUCUCUUCCCCUCCCCUCCUCCUCUCCUCGCUCUUCCUCCUCCGCAACCAACUCGCCAUUUCCCCACUCCCUCCCCAACUCUAUUUAUUAAAGGUGGCAGAGAUUGAUAACAAGGAAAAGGGAAAACAAGGAAGGGUGCAGGGAGUGUGAGUCCUGUGAUCUCCUUCCUUGGCCCUUCCCCUGCCCUUAAUUAUAUCUCCUCUCCCUCUCCCUCUCUAGUUUUUCUUGGCUUUGUGCUUUGGGGUGAUUAGCGUGAAGAGGGGGACUCUGGGUUUGUGGAGGGAAAUGAGCGGAGGGAAAACACGCAACGGACAUCGGCCAGCCACUAACCCUGGGUUUGGGACACGUGGGGAUGGGCGGCUUCAGCUUGGCUCUUUUUUUUUGUUAAAUAGGAUAAAUUAAACUAAUUGAUUGUAAAUAAAUGCGUGGAAGCCAACAAACAAAAUAUUCAGCAGAGAAAGAUUUAUCAUAAAAUCAUACCAUCCAAUCGACUAUAUUAUUAAUUUUUCUAUUACAUAUAUAUAUAAAAUAAUAGCAUACAUAAUAAAAUAUAGUGUGUGUAUCAAACACCGAUAAUUUUUUAAAAAAGAAUAAAAUCAAAUAUCAGUGGAUGAUGAAUCCAUCUAAUAAAUUUUAUAUAAUUUCUCUUCGAGCAAAUAUGGAGCAUCGUAAGCAUUUGAACAAAAUAAAAGAAAAGUAGAGUCUUACUAGCAUUUCUAAUAAUAAAGCCUACCCCAUCAAAACUUUUUUUUCCUUUAAUUUUGAAGGAAUAGGAGCCGAUGCCCCCCCCCCCCUCCCAAAGAAAAAAAAAUCUGUGUUAUUUUAAAAUUUUUUUUGCAUAAAUAUCUUUCUAAAUAUCGAAUUUUAUAAAAAUAUCUUUCCAAAUUGAUAUUUACAUGUAUACCAUCGUAAAACACUUAUUUUACUAUUUUAUUUUUUUAUCUUUAUUUUUGCAUAUGUACUUACACCAUCUAAUGCUAUUAAAAAAUUAACGGUUUCAAAUAAAAAUGAUGAAAAUAUUGUUAAUGAGUAGAUGUGCAAAAAAAAUAUUUAUGAGACAAUCAUGGUGAGAGACAAAAAGUAAUUUCAUAAUUUUAUAUUAUUUUUAAUUAAAAUAGAUAUAGUUUUUAUUAACGGCGUUAGAAGAAUCGUUAUAUUAAAAAAAAUUUGUGCAAAAAUAAUAUUUUAUAAUAAUAAAAAAUAAAUAUAAAUUUUUAAAAAUAUUUAUAUAAAUUUAAAUUUUUAGAAAGAUAUUUAUUAAAAAAAAUAUGUGGAAGUAAAUCGUGUCAUCCUCCAAAAGGGGUGGGAGAACAUAAUUGCCAAAUCGUCCCUUGUCGCCAUUCCCAACCAUCCCUAUCGGUGUGUGGGGAAAAAGAUUAUUAUUUGCCUACCAGCGCGUGACCGCAGUGCAGCGUUGGGUGGAUGAGAGCUGGCCGCAAUGCUAAUGGGAUGGACAAUAUAGUUUGAGCCCAUAACUCACUCAUAAGGACCUUUCUAGCAUUCUCUCUUCCAUGGAAACUUCUUCUCUGUCACCACUAAAGUGGUAGCCCAAUGGGAGCAUGGCCUUACUUCCAACCAAGUGGUUUCGAGUUCGAAACGCAUGGGCGUCGAUUAAAUUGUGGAGACCGGAUGCUCUAUGCUUGAACACGAAGUCUAGAAGAGCGUAUCACUCUGCUGGUAGCUUCGGUGGUGCCCAGAUGUGACGUACUCAUACGUGGUAUUCGUGCCAGAGCCCAGAAAGGUAAUCGAGGUGGGGGCCCAGUGGAAACUACUACGCGGGGGUGGGCUUGUCCCUUUGUCCCCCCCUUCCUCUUUUUUUCAGCACAAAAAAAAAACUUUUCCCAAUUUGGAUGAUUGGUGCCCCAAUCAAAUGAACAAUUAUCAAACUUCUAAUAAAAAACUUCUGGAUUAUACACUCCGUUGUAUUAAAAAUAACAUUUCGUGUCAAAGUAAGCAGCUGAUGAAGGUUGUUGACUGUGAGAAUUGUCUACGUCACAUUGGGGACAUGGAAACAUACAUACAUCUAUUUGGGGAGGUUUUGCAGGAAUGUAAAAAUCAAAUAUACAUGAAAUUGCUGGCAAUGCAAGACAUUGUUCUAGUUAUACAACAUGUCUUGCGGUAGUCAAAAUGGCAAGGUUUAGGAUCUAUUAAGACAACUUUUUUUUUUUUUUUUUCCGAUCGACUCGCUCUGAAGCUAUUUAUGAAUAUUUUUGAAUAUAAACCUCUUCUCUGAUUGCGCCAACAUUAUAACUUUAUGAGCCCGGCCCUUCCCCCCUCCAAACCGGGGGGGGGGAAAAAAAAAGUGUGCCCGUGUCACGAGACUAUUGGAUUCUUAUACCAUGAAUUCAAUACAACCAAUCCCUCCCUCCCACUGUUCCACAUGGCCUAGAUCUUUGUGCGUGCUGUAUUUGUGUUCCCUGGUAUUACAGGUUGCGUGCGCUCGUUUCGUUGCACUCUUGAGUUGCCUCCAAAACCAAAGAAGGAUCGACCUUCCUUCGCGCGAAUCUACCGUUGGACCGCGCAAUAGCCACUUCGAGAUCAGUGCAUAUGGACGAUGGAAGAGUUCGAAUGCUUUGAGAACUGUGCGGGGCUCGAUCGAACGGUCGAUGUCGCAAAAGAUGCAACCCGAAUCGCUGCCAAACAGAAGGCAACGUGCAUCCGUCUUCCGCCGCCAAGUCAAAAAAUAUAAAAAUAAAACCCAAAUCCCGCCCCCGGUCUAAUUUCCCCCCUCCCCUCCCGUCCCUUUUGUUUUUUCCCUCUCUCCCCCUUCAAAACCCUACCCCCGCCCCUUCCUCCCUUCCCUCUUCUCGCUCGCCAUGUCCGAGGUCGAGGGCUCCAGCCUCCCGCCGACCGAGCUCCGGCUUCCGUCGCCCCACCAGCACGCGCAACAGAUCCUCCGCCCCGCCUCCCACCGCCACUUCCCCUUCUCCCCCGCCCUCGCCCUCGAUCCGCACCUCCUCCCCCGCCGAUCGCCCGGACCCACCGACAAGGACCGCAUCGCCGCCCCCGACGCCUCCGUGAGUGCUGCCAUUCUCGCUCUCCACUUUCUUGCUUUGCUGCUGUCGUCUUCUUGGUUUUCUGUCUUUCGUCUAUUCUCUUCCGAUCUUUCAUGAUCAUCUGGACCUUUCUCCCUUUCACUUAUUCCCUUGUUCUGUUUCGAUCACCUCUUGAUUCACGGCCAUAUGGUUUUUGAUUUUCUUUUGUUUUUCUCUCCUUGGAAUGAUGUUCUUGGAAUUGUUUGCUUGAUGAUGACGAUGAUGAUCUAUUGUUGUUUUGAUUCCACGAGGUUUUAUAGUUUAUGGAAUCGGGGUAUUUUUUCCUCUAGGUUUUGUGAUCUGAGAUUAUAUAUCAUCCUGUGGAGAGAUAGGGAAACAUGAUGCCUUUGACGAGUCUUGUGGCGCAACACUAAAGGUCAAGAAAAAAGAAAAGAAAAGAAAGAAAAAAGGCCUUCUGAACAAAUUCUUAUGCGGUAUAUGUGUGUAUUGUUCUGGGUGACGGAGGGGAUUUUUGAUAUAUCCUAUGGUUUUCAAGUUGGCACUAUCUUAUGUUCCAGCGGCACAAUGCAUCAGAAUGUUGAUUUCAUGCUUUGAAUAUGUUUAUGAAGUAGAGCAUCCUAGGGCUGUUUUGGGCAAUAGAGGAGUUUUCACCACUGUACUGACAAAGUUAUUGUGCUAGACCCUUAGACAAAUGUCAUAUCGUGCAAGGAGAAGUCGUAGGCCAUAAGAGUAUAGCUGCUAACACUGUGUAGAUUGUAGACAGAGGUGAUGGGUGGUGGACUUUGCUGAAUGUGUAUGUGGUCUCCCAGGAGGUUGUUUUACAACUUUAAUCCACAAUUAACUGUAGACUGAAUUUAUUGAGCCUCUUUUUCCAGCAAUUUUCUUCCUUAAAUGUGAUUUACCAUCAGAGUCCAUUGGGAAUUUGCCAAGCAAAAGUUUUCAAUUGAAUUCUGAUUCUCAUGUCUAUGGAAGAUGUGCUAGAAUAUUAGAUGCAGUGACUAUUUGCAGAGGUGAACGUGUUUAUUGUUCAACAAAAGGCUAACUAACAACAGCAUACAAGAAUGAUGUGAUUGACUGACACAAUAUGAUUGAAUUUUUCAGAUUUCACAUUUGUAAAUUAUUGACAAUGAAUUCUUAGUUUUGAUUAUUUUUCCAUGUGACCUGUAGAUUUGCAGCUGCAUAUGUGCAGACUUAAUAAAUUGGUUGCUAAGUGACCUGAUUUUGUGAUGGUUACAUGCCAUUUGUUUGCUUGAUGCCUGUUGCUGUAGUCAAUAAUCAUGCAUUGCAUCAGUUUGAUCUUCACAUCUUUGAUUGCACUUAAGUAUGUGCACUAAAAGAUAAUUGAAGAGAUUUUACACAUUUGGUGGAGAUUGUAGUCUACUUGCUAAAUAUCGAAACUGCAAAAGUUCGGUGCAAUAUGUUUAUAUAGACUGUCACAAUAUAUUGUCUGCUCAACAGAAAUACUGAGAUGCUCACCAUUUUCCACUUGCACAGAAUUUUUUGGAAUAACUAUAAAAGACAUUUGAUGGAUUCUCUUGCAUAUAAUUCAUGUCAAUGUCUGCAAUAGCGUUGCAUACAUGUGUUUAUUUCUUCCCUUUGAUGUUUAACUUAGAGCUUACGAAGUAACACUUCAAGACUGCCUUUAUUAAUACUGAAAGAUUGGCACACAUAUUGGUAGGUUGCAUCAGUUUAUGCAAAAAGAAUUUGUGUGACAUGCAAAAUGUGACAAAAGUGGCAUGUGUGGAAGAACUUAAAGACUGAACUCAAAAUUAGGAAUGCGAAUAGCUCUGCAUGUUAUUUGGUCCUUGGUUUCUGUAUCGUAAAUGGGUGCAUCAUUAAGUAUUUUGAUUCUUUAUAUCUAAUGGCUAUCCGAAUUAUGCUCUGUUUGUAAAAUAAACUUGGAUGCCUAUAUAUGUUAUAGUAUGGCUAUCUAUUGUCAUUGGGUGACUCAGUGAGUUGCUUAUGGGUGCCUAGGUUAGGAUUUUGGACAUUUCAAGUGAUUUGCGUAAUAUGUCAUGUUUUGAGUUUUAUACAUAUGGAUAUAAAAUUUGUGUAAUAUGUUAUAUUUUGAAUUUUACGUGUUGGAAACUUUGGAAGACCUCAAAAUUGGCAUCUGUGCCAAGUGUCUCAGUAACACCAUGAUGAAAGCGACAAAAAUGCAAGACUUUUUUAGAAGGGUCCGUUACUUCAGGCUUUUAUUGUUCAACACUUGAAAUAGUUGAGCAGUUAAAAGUAACAAGUCAAAAUAUGAUGACUUCUAAUAAGAUCCUGAAUAAAUCAUGACAAGAGCCAGCACUAUUGGCUAACAUAAGCAGGAGACUCCAUUUCUAGGAUUUCUAGUAGUGUUGUCCAUUCAUGUCACUCUUUCACUGUCCAGAAAUAUGGGGACUCUGGAAACCCUAAAAUUUGAAGUAUCAAGCAACAUUAAUGUUUUGAUAUCAGAGAUUGACAACCUCUUAAAAAAAUUUUUUAAGGUAAAACCAACUUAUGUUAUCUUAUCUAUCAUGACAUUUUGUUUUCUGAUUCAUAUUGCUAUUGGUCAUAAUUUGGGUGGAAGAAUUCUAAGUGCUGUGCUCUUCUUUUAAUAUAGAUAUGUUUGGAAGCCCACCCCUUGACAGUUCUGGCCAUGCAGGUGCUCUGGCUAUCUAGCUUUAAUUUGUUUCUAAGCCAUUUUUGCUUGUCCUUUUUUGAGAUGCACUGCUCUUUGAGUCAACAUUCCUGCUUACCUCGUAUAAUGAAUAAAAAUUUAUUAGUAGUAAUCUUACGGUGACAACUACAGAGAGAUGCACAAGUAUGCAAGAGUACACUUCUUGAUUUGUUUUUCCCGUGAUCUCUGAAAGUAAUGUUAACUUCUGUGUCCUUUUAUGCCUUUUCUUUUGGAUCCAGCAUCAAUUAUUUGUUAUGGAUAUGCAUUUCAUUUUUUUCAGGUAAAAAAACAAACAAAUGGAACAGAAAUAAAGAAAGUUGAGAGUGGUGAAGGGCCUAUUGGACAAAGGCAGAAGGAGGAAACCGGAUCUCAUAUACUUCCAACUGAGUCAGGAACAGGUGUCAAGUGUCCACGAAAACCACAGCAUUCAAAACAUAAAAAAGCAGUACAGCAGCAGUUGCCUGGACUAGCUGAGGGUGAUUCCUGUGGAACCUAUGGUUGUUGCACUUCAUGCUUCCAUAUGCCAUAUUGGUUCCACAUAUGAUGCGGACAGUGUUCAUAGCUUAUUUGGUUGACAAUGGCAUUUAGUUCGGUUUUGCUUACCUGUUAGGAUUAAAGAGAAAUAAAAGGGGCAUUUUUGUGCUCUUACAAAAUAACAUAUGAUAAUAAUUGGCAAUGCUACAUUUGUGCAGGAAACGUUUCAAAUAUCUUAAAUCCUAGCAGCUGCCGCUACGACAGUUCUCUAGGUGAAUGUUGCAUUGAGAUAGUUCUGAGGAUGAUUGGAUCAGAAUCUUCUGUUAUUAUGUUCUUGUGAAGCACUCUUGGAUGUUUUUUGAGGGUUAAUAUGACUUGAUAGGUUUGUUGACAAAGAAAUUCGUCAAUCUGCUUCAGCAAGCUGAUGAUGGGACUCUUGAUUUGAACAGAGCAGCAGAAAUUUUGGAUGUAUGACUCUUGUGAUGCUUCAGAUGUAUCGUCUUCCAUUUUUCUAAGUUUCUCAAUUAUUGACUUCCUUGUGCCAAGAAUGAGCUGUUUGUAAGUUCUCUGGAUAUUCUUUUCAAUUGCUCUGGCAGGUCCAAAAGAGGAGGAUUUAUGAUAUAACAAAUGUUCUUGAAGGAGUAGGAUUGAUUGAAAAAAACUUGAAGAAUAGGAUAAGUUGCAAGUAUUCACUAGAAUCCUUACUUUUUUCUUCCCUUCAUUAAUUAAAGUGAUUUACUAACAAAAACAUCUGUGAAAAGGGGAAUUGAUAUGUCAAGGCCCAAGGAGAUGGAUGAUCAAGUUGCUGCAUUGAAGGUACCCAUUUAAUGUCAAAUACUGUUAAAGGAACCACUCCCUCUUCUCCUGCCCCCAUUUCUCAGUUUGAUAGUUUUUUUUUGAGUUUGCUUUUAGUUUGAAAUAACUUGCAUUGAUGAAGCAAACUUGUAACAUAUUUUAUCAGCAGCUUUUUCAUGCUUUCUGGGAGCUAGAUAAGAGAAUACACUGUUAUCUUAGUGCAUCUUGAUAUUGGAAAGACUUCCUCCUAGCUGUAUUUCUAAUUUGUUUUGCUCUAGCCUAUGUUAGAAGAUAUUUCUGAUCAUCUUAGUGGUUUCCCCAAUGAGCAUAUAGUGAGUUGCACUUUUAGUUUCCCCUGUGUAGUCUAUACUUGUCAUUAUAGUACCUCUGAAAUGGUGCUUUAUUUGGCAUGUGUAUUUGUUUGUUUUAUUUUUGUUCUGGGAUGUUAAUAUCUUUAGGAUGAUCGAGUUAAUCUUUCGUGCUCAAAUUGAGAUGUGCCAAAUGCCACCCGCCCCUUUAGCCUCGGCAUCUUGGGCCUCUCCCUCUUCAAGUAUUGGUACCUUUUUCCCAUUAAAAUAUUUACCUCGCUAAAUAUUUACCUUCUUCUAAUAAACGCAUGAUGGCUCUGUAAUUUGUUCUCAUAAGAAAACAUGCUCAGCAUUCAAGAUAACCAUGUUUGGAAAUGUAACUAUGGGUUACCUUGAUUUUCAACAUUUGACGAAUUUAGAGUCGAGACACAUUGUUUUGUAAUAUGUUCAAUAUGUGCUUGGGCUUUCAAAGGAAAAAAAAGGAAAAGGAAAAUCUCAAAUGUCAAUGAUUGGUGUGAACUAAAGAGAGCAGUUAACUUAUUCGGGAGCAAUAUUAAGUUUAGAUAUUUUAUGUCUGAUGGUGGUGAGGUUUGGCAACUUUAGGGGCUAGGCUUUUCUUUAGUGGUACUUAAUGGAGCUGGUACUAGAUUAUAACCCUGUAAUCCUAUACAGCCCCAUAUUGAUGAGUUGAUGAGUUUCACACCGUGAUGAAUAGGGAUAUUCAUCCCAAAGCUAAAAGCUCUCACUAACUUUUCCUCUUCUUGCGUGUAGACUUCCACUUAAAUAGCUGUGGAGGACAGAUGUUAGGGGUGGAGCUGUAUCAAAUAGAGUGGAAUUUAUUAACAUGCCAUAAAAAGGAUUUAAGAAGUGGAAGUGUUCAGGUAUGUGCUAGUGCAUAACAUGUAUGUCACCAAAUUGUAUAACUAUAAGGUGCAAAAUACAAAAUUAUUGAAGGGGCUAGUUGAAACAAAUAAGUCGGAGAUGGUUUCAAUUAUGAAAUAUCUAGAGUUCAAUAACUCUAAGAAAGGAUAAAACCAUAAAAAAACCCACAUACAAAGGAGGAAAUGAAAUUUGCAGUAGAGUUAUGCAGUGAAGACCCUUUUUUGGUGGUUCCAUGGAAAUGAUUGGAUUUUAGGGACAAUCCCAUGUUUUCUAGCAUUGACUUUUAUAAAGUUUCAGAUAUAUCAUUGAAAAGCAUACUGGAUCAUGAUGUAAAAUUAGAAUGGGAACUUAUAUACAAUGCUAUGGUAGACCGUCGUGUUUUGUAGUUGAUGAGUGCACUGAGUACAAUAAAGGAAUUGCACAUACAAAGUUAGUACAUGGAAGGCUGACUAUUGUCAUGUAAAUUUCAUGUUUAUAAUAGAAGUUAAGAGUAGUGGAAGGUUGGAUGCAUGGCACUUGUUCAACUUGUUAUCAGUUUUGCUAGAUCACUCACCAUUUGAGAUCUUUAAAAGCCCACGAGGAUAUUAACUCUCUUAUUUAUAGCUAUAGGAUGAUUACAGAAGCUAUGUAGCAAUGAGUGAUUAAUCAUAUAACAUUGUUCAUCAUGACUUCAAGUUACUAGUAUUGGAUGAUAACAUAGUAUUUUGCAAUUCUUAUUCUUUAGGACUCUUGAUAUGCCAAUAAAUUAAAGGGACAUUGAUAUUUUAAUGUGUAAGGCUGUUAUUGUAGGGUAGGAAGGUAGGGUGUGUGUUGUAAGACAUUGUAACUUGGAGAUGGUGAUUCGAAUGACUUUAUGUUGUAGGCUGCAAGGAUGUGGGUUGUAAUGGCAACGAUGUGCAGUGUCUAGCUGAAUGAAAAUUAAUCUCUCCUCUAGAGAAAAGUAAUGCUUAUUGUUGGAAAAGUUGUUCCUUAGGGCUAAAGUAUGAUGGGAUAUGCUUCUUGAGAAUAUCAGAUGUGGGGGUUUUAUUUUAGGACUUUUAACAUAAAGAUCAGAGUAAAUGGUGGAAAUUUGAGAUUAUGGAUGUGCUGAAGCAUUUGGCAAAUAUAGCCACUUCAAUAGAUUCUAAUAGUGCAUUUUUUUAUAUUUAAACUUGAUUAUGUAAAAAAAAUUGAACAUGCAUCAAAAGAUGAAUUUUAAAGUAGCUCUCUUGUAUUUUGCUGAUUUUCGCAAGUCCAAGACGAAAACAGUAGUCAUCGAUCCGGUUAAGUUAGUUGAUGACAUACCGAUUGGGUAAGAUGACAGCGAGACAUGUGAGCCAUCAAAUUCGGGUUUGCCUAGCGCGUCUCGCGAUUUCAGCAACAAUGAUCAUGAUAGUUCCACUGAUGUGUAUGGAGAUUAAGGUGAACAGUCUAGAGGUGGUGAUGGUUAUUUUCAAUGGCUCAUUCCAUUAACCAGUGAGGCGGAGUUCAUGCAUGCCAUGUAGAAUCAGGACCACCAUACCUGAACAAAAUUAAGAUUUUAUAAAGAGAUGCUGUCCUAUAUAAGAAGAGCAUUCAAGGGUGGUGCACAUAAGUUCAGGUUUAUGGGUAUAGAUACUUUGAGAAAUUGGAGAGUCAAUUGAGAGAAACUAUGUGCAGAGGUAGGAGGAUUAUAUGCAUACCUGAAACAUUAGAGAUCAAACUGAUGGCAAAAGUUAGACGGAAAGUGAAAGGAAAUGAGAAAAGAUUCUAGAAUACGUGAGAGAUGUUACAUCAAAUGGAGGAGCUAGAGAUUGGUGAUACAUCUGCAAGUGCAUCAGAUAGCUAUAGUAUGCAGUAGAUCUCAUCUUAUGCUGGAGGUGAAUCUUCUGCUGCAUCAAAUAGAGUAGGUAGCAUCCUUUAUCCAUAUACGAUCUUUAUGCAUUCUUCUACUUAUUUUAUUUGGAGGAUCUGACUCUGUAUAUUGCUGCUUCUAUGGAUAUGGGUAUAGCUAGAGGUUAGAACAUGAUGCUACCUCCUCCUACCCUGAGCAGGGAUGGUCGGUCUUUUAUGACUACCACAAGCAACCAUAGUAUCCGGAGUCAUAGCAGGGGACUAUCGGAUAUCAUAUGACCAGCAGAGAUGGGGACAAUAUCCAAACUGGUAUGAUAUCCAAGGUCCAGAAUACAAACAAUAUCUGGAUAUCUACGAGAGCCAUGGAUAUUUUACUUAGGAUUAGAUUUAUAAAGUGAGUUAUUACACAUUUUCCUUUUUACAAUAUCAUAGACUAUUUGUCAUUUUUUAAUUAUUAAUAUUGCUAGUUUAUCGAUCCAUGUUGACCUAAUAAGUGUUGAUACUAAUAUCAACACUCUAGUAUCACAUAUCCAUCGAAAAUUGAACUAAAACAUUAAAAAUUCACCAAAAAUAGUAUAACAAGCCUUCGAAACAAAAAAGAGAAAAAAUAGGACUUUUGGCAUCAAGAAACCGGCGAUAGUGGGGGAGAGGUUGAAGGAAAGAGCAGAGAGAGGGAGAGGGAGCAGGAGAGAGGGAGAGGGAGGAUGGGAGCGAGAGGUUGCAUUGUCGGAAAAAGCCCUCUCUUCCCUGCAUUGUCGGAACAGGGCAACAGGGGCUUCAUUCCUUUUUAUAAUUUUUAUGAUUUUUUUUAGUGAAGUCAACGGUCUCUCUCUCUCUCACUUUUCCACUCUUUCCUUCUCUCUGUCCCCCUUCCUCCGCCUCUCUCUUCAUUGUCCUCUCCCGCUCUCUCCUUCCCUUCCGCCCUCUCCCUCUCCCUCUCUCCUCCUCCUUGCCCCCUCCCUUGCUAGUUUCUCUAUCGAGUUCAGGUUGGAACGAUGUGAUAUGGUACCGUACCUUACAAUUAGCGUACUGGCAUAGGUGUUGGUUCCGAUACUACGGACCUUAUAAAAAAAUAUGGUCUUAUAAGACUAGUAAAAAAUUGAACAUACUGCAUGUAAGAUGUGUAAUAAUUAAGACAUAUGAAGCCUAAGAUACAUAAGCAAGUAGCACCAUAAUUAGACUAGUAGGAUGAAAUGAACAAGUUUUGUCAUGUCAAGUUUUCACUGUCAUCCAUAAAUCAUUUUGAAACUGAUUAAAUAAGACUUUAUGUAAUAAAAUUCUUUCCAAACAAAUAGACCACACGUACUAACUUUGUCUUUGGCAUUCAUAUACAUUUGUUGAAGUACUGUUUCCAUUUUGGAUCCUUCUUUUUAUUUUGCAAUCACUUCACAACAUGCAUCAAAAGUAUAUUUUAUGCUAGAACGAAAUGCUAUAUAAAUGUUCUAAUAAGGUGAUAAUUCAAGAUAUACAUAAUAACACAAAUAAAGCUCGUAUAAACAAAUAAACAUGAACUAAUGAGGUGUAUGAAAUAAUGAUAGUUGGAUUUCUCCUCAUUAAGGAUAGAAAGAUGGGCUUCAAACUUAAUUUGACGAGAACAUUGACUUUGAGUCAGGAAUGCAUAUGGUCCUAGGAUUGAAUAUUCAGAACUAGGUUUUACACUUUGGCUAAAAUAAGCUCAAAUGAUUAAGGAACUCCAAUUAUGUUGUGUUGGUUAGCGACACAGCCAUACAACCAUUGUAUUGUACCCAAGUAUAGCUAGUGCGGCACAUUCUGGCACUUAACCAUUUCUUGGAUUAGGUUGGCAACUUGGCAUAGUGUAUAUAGAAAUGUCGAGUAUUUACGAAAGGCACAAGGAUUUAACUUGGUCUAACUCCGCUAAUUAACACGAUGCUCAUAUUUUUUAUACUCAUUAUAGAUAAAUUUAUGCUAAAUUAUUUAGAAAGAUGUGCCAUAAGCUAUAGAUAAUUUGAUUAAUGGGGGGAAAGAUUAAAAUAUAAAUUGGAUAUUUUGAAAACACUUUAUUGGGUAAGAGGCUUAAAAAUCAGCAAAAUAUGAAUAUGUUAUAGGAAAUGUAGUUUUUGAAAAGUAAAGAUGAAAAUAAGGACCAAGCCAAGAUUGUUAGACGAGAGAUACAAUAAAUGCAAAUUAGAGAAUGCUAACAUGCAUGGUCGGCGGAACCGUCCCGAACUGCUCGGUUUGGGGCGUCCUGAGCUGUACCGGUGGUGGACUGGGACGGUUCUAACGACGAAACCGAGAUGCAAUCGUCGGAGGGGGAGAGGAAGAAUGAGAGAGAGAAAAAGCGAGACCUGUCUCUCUUCCUUCCUCUCCCUCUCCCUCUCGCUCCCUCCCCUGCUUUAUCUCUCUUUUUCUCUUUUUUCUUCUCCUUCUCCCCCUCCCCUGCCUCUAUUGUGUCGGUACUGGGUCGGCAUGGCAUGGCGCUGGGCUGUACCGACACGUACUGUCGGGCCCGAUAUCGGCACAACAGAUAAUGCUAACAAGGCUUGCAUAUUUGUAUGAUUUCAAGUGUUGGGCAAUAAGGAGGGUCCAGGAAAAAAUGUUAAGGGUUUGUUUAGAUAUUCCUAUAGGACCAGGCUGAAAAUCUUGGAGGAAUUGGGUCUGUUGGCUUAUCCAGCUUGCAUUUUCUAAGAGCCUGUCCAAACCCAACCCAUAUCCUAGCCUUUGGGCUGCCAGAAAAAAAACCUAUGGAGUUCUUUUUUUUCUUCCUAUAUGAUUUGGGCUAGCUGGGUGGUAUUUGGUUGAUACAGAAUCAUGCUUAAAUGGAUGGCCUACUUCACGAAUUUCUAUAGGAUUUUCAGCUCAAUCUCGUAAAAUUAUCCAAAGAUGCCCUAAAUGUAGUAGAAAUAGGAUAGAAGUUGUGAUAAAGGAUAUGGUAAACAUUGAAAUAAAAUUAGAUGCAGCUCUAAAUAGGAGUGCUUGGUACAUAAGGAGUCACAAUGCUUUCAUUCUGAAUAGUUGGGACAAGGCUUGAUAGUUAUGGUAUCUCAAUUAUUUUGAUGCCAGAUAAUAUUAAGUUAUCAACUAAAAUCAUACAUUAUACAUCAUAUAUUUGUGUGUGUACAAAUCUUCAAUUGAAAAUCUACUAUCAUUGUAAUUUGAUUUCUAGUCUAAAUAGUUUAUAAUUUAUAUGUUUUCUUAUGACUUUGAGAAUCUAGGGAGUAUUUUAAGGAUAUGACAAAAUGCAGAUUCUUGUAUCUUUUUAUAAAUUUGAUGCCCAGCUGUAGAAGGUUCAAGAUGAUACAUCAAUUAGAAAAAGAGGAUAAAGAAGCGACAUAAGUUUGAAUGUAGCAAAAUCAAUCAUUUACCUAAGUUUAGGUAUUUUUCCUUCAUGCACAAUUCUUUCAUUUAAAUAAAACAACUAUAAUAGAUAAAGUACUUUUCUGAAUCGAUAACUACUCAAACUAUCUUUUAUUAUGAGAUAGGGGAUGAUACUGUUUCACAUUGUAUUGCUUGUGAACUUGAUGUCAAGCUGUCCAACCUAUGAUAGUGUGUUCCAGCAUGUGCAGGCACAACCUACAAGUGUCAAUGAUGUAUCAUAGGAAUAGUGAUGCUGCAUCUUUUGAUCUAAAGGGCUAUAUCUCACUUGAUAUAACUCUACUGAUGUCUGUAACAAUAGAUUUAACUAUAAUGCAAUGUAUGAUUGGACUCUGCUUGACUUAAUAAGUUUGCUUUUUUUUACAAAUAUGAUCUUUGUUCCUCCUAUGUAUAUUCUAUGAAAGCUUCUUGGACAUUCUUUCUUUUAAGAAUUUAGAAAUUAGUAGUUAUUAAAAAUGAUGUACUUUAUGUCAAAAAAAAGAAAAAAAGGUGCUGUGCUUAUGGAUUUAGCUUGCAUCACUACUUUGUUGUGUGAAAAGCCCAUGGUUUGUGUCCUUUCCUUGAUGGACUGGGCCUAGGUUUGAUUCAUAGGAGGGGUUGAUUAAGAUCCUAAAGCUUAAUUUGGGCCAACCACCCUUGGCUAACCAAAAUCAAUUGACUAGGUUGCCUGAAUUGGAAUUCUCAAGCUAGGCUUGGGUCCAAUUUUAGCUUAACUCCAUACCUUCUUCUUAAAGGAGGGCAUGGGUUUGGCGGUUUGGUCAAGAGCUUGAGUGGCAUGGAAUAUAGGGGGCCAAAUGAGCAAUAUGAUAGGGAUGUGCAUGGGCCAUGUGGGUUUUCAUAGCUAGAUAUUAGAGUCUCUCCUACAAGAAAUGAGUUGGAAGUAGGUUCAGUUGUAGGAGAUUGUUGCAAGCGAUAAGCGGGGAGCUGACCGGCCAAGGCGGUGGAUGGGAAAGCCAACCUAGGGCCCUAGUGAGAGAAGAAAAUUUUCAGUAACAAAUCAGAAAAGCAUUUAUCUUCAAAGUACUUUGUCACAGAGGGAGGAUGAAAACCAUUUGUAUAGUUGAAGAUAAUAAGCCAGUCUUUUGAAACUUUUGCAUGCGUUUCUUGCAUAGAAUGCCAAGAGUUCCUCUGCUGUAUUCUUGGAACUGCCUUGCAUUUUUCCCAUGAUGACAUAAAAAGGCCUCAUGGCAACAAAGUAACAUUCUAAACAAUGUUGAAUUUGAUAGAUCAUUCCAAAAAGGAGGAAGGAACAUUUUGGUAAUUUGAAGCCCAUGGCCACUCAUCUCUUUGCUCACAGCUUGUUGCAUGCCCAAGGCAUUGGUGGCAUGAUUAAACAAGAGGGUGAGAAGAAAUGCCAUAACAAAUUACGAGACAAGAUGGGUAGGUCGCCAUGGGGUUCAUUCAGCAUUGAUCUUUGACAUGAUGAUACGUUAAGCGCGUAACUCAAGCCAAGCCUACCUAACCCUAUGUAUAAGGAUGCAUUUUGGGCUCUGCUAACCCAUGACCUUUUUAAGCCUGUACUAUUUAUGGGCUGGGAUAAAUUAUCAUUCAGUUGGACUAUUUUGGGCUUGAAAAUUCUGGUUUGACUUGAACAGCUACGCUUGAGCUAGGAGUUUAGCCUAGCCCAAGCUGGCCUGAGGGUAAAAUAUGAUACAUGCUUAUGUGCAAGAAUCAAUGUGUCUGAUAGACAGAUGAUAGCACAAGAAGAGAAAUACUGGUUGCACUUUAAUUCCCCAUAUGUAUGCAUUGGGUUUAUCUAUGCAAUAUCUUAGUUUUGUUAAAUACAAUUGAGAAAAAAAGGAAACUUAGUUCUAAUUGGUCAUGCUAUGUUUGAAUUCUUUCUUGGUUAAGUUUGGGCCAGACCAAGCCAGUAUAUCAAUCGAGCUAGCUCAAUCUCAACUCAGAGUUGUCCACAGGGCUUGAGCUGAGAUUUGUUGGAUCAGUUGUGGGUUGAACAGAGUUUGGGCUAAGCCUUCAAUGUUGGCUGAGUCCCAGCAGAUAUUUGGCGCAGUCCAACCCACUCAAUGUGUAGUCCUACCAGUGUGCCAUGGACCUUGCUUAUGCUCAAUAAUCCUUCCAAGUUAGCCAGCAACUUGAUUAGCCAACCAAUUCUUUUACAUCCAUAGUUCUGGAUUGCACUUAUUUGGCCCAAGAUUAAAUCCUAGAAGCCUGGACAUAAAAUACCUGAAUUUUCUUUUUUAAACCAUAUACAAACGAGAUAUGACAAAUGGUAUCUUAACACUUCAGUUUUUUGGAAAUCUGGAGUGGGCACCUUUGGACACUAGUCACUAGGUCACAUUGUUUUUGAAUGACAUGCCAUGACAUUCCAUGGUGCUCUGAAAAUUGUCCUCGUGUCAGCUAUAAGUUGUGGCACUUGGAACAAUUGUUCUUGCAGUGUCCCCUAUCAAAAAGCACCUUAUUACAAUUGAUGUCACUUAACUUCUGAACUGUUUUGCUGCCAAAUAAUGAUUAUUAAGUGCCCAGACUCUUUUACUGAAGUGCUGCACAUUUUUUCCCAUUGAUGUUAUUAUCACAUGCAUGUUAAAAUAAAAGGUUUAUUGACUACUCAAUUAACUCCAGUUGUCAUUAUAUGUUGACUCGUAUAUUGGUUCUUUAUAUUUUAUAUUACUACAUUUUGGAAUUUAUGGAGUAGAAGUUGCCCUACCAACUGGACCCCUUACUCAGCCUAACAUGGGCCCAUUAGUAGCAAUAUGGCUCGGAGAAAAUCUUGUUUUUUUUUCCAUGCAUUUCUCCAACCGGUGCAAAUCUCUAUUGAUAAAUAAAUAAAUAUGGUUAAUUGUGAACUUAUAAUGCUAUCCUGAAAAGAUCUUAUUACAGUUUUCAAUUUUGGUUGUCAAGUGUGCUGAUGGCAAAAACGAGAUGAAAUGUUAGUUUUUACUUGUUUCAUAUUUUGCUGAUAAUAACUAAUCAUGUACAGUCAUUAAUUUUCAUCCCAACGUUUUCACAGGCUGAAGUUGAAACUCUGUAUACGGAAGAUUGCAGCCUGGAUGGAAUGAUCAGGUGGGUUCUCAGGAAAACACAUUGAAUGAAACUGUUUUCUUUCUAUGUAUUAAUGAAAGUCUGUUGCUUUGCAGAGAGAUGCAAGAUAAUCUCAGAAUUCUGACUGAAGAGGAGAACAGCCAAAAGUAAACUGAAAUUGUUAACGUUUCUUGGCUUUACAAUUUAUUUGGUGGUUUGUUAUUCAUUAACUGAAGUCUAAUGGUCAUUAAUCUGUUUAGAUGGCUCUAUCUCACCAAUGAUGAUAUUAAUAACCUUCCUUGCUUUGAGGUUUGGCUUUCUGGGCCCUUGAGUUUCUUGCCAUUUGAUCUUAUCUUGUAGCUGGAUGUUCUAACUUUUGUCUGUCAUGACAGGAUUCUACUCUAAUUGCAAUAAAAGCACCUCGAGGAACUAGUAUUGAAGUUCCAGAUCCUGAUGAGGUGGGCAAGACAUGGUCGAUAAGAUGAUACUUCAUGGGUUAGGUAGGUUUUGAUGACAUUAUUUUUUGAACAGGGUCUUGAUUUUCCACAAAGACGAUACCAAUUACUUUUCAGAAGCUCAAUGGGUCCUGUUGAUAUGUACUUGAUCAGGUACUUUCCGGGGGCAGUACCAAAAUUGCUGUCCGUUGGACUUUCUUUUUAGAAAAUUUUGAAUUAUAAUAUAGGCUCUCAUCUUGUUAACAGCAAUCAUGGAGAGAUAUACGAGGCUUCAAAUCAAAACCAACAGCCAGCUGCAAUGGAUUUGUAUGUCGAGAGUAGCUGCAAGAAUGAUACGUCUUUUCAGCCGGCAGACAAGCAUACAGGUGGAACAUCUGAGCGAGGACACGACCAAGCUACUCUUUCUAACAAUUUGGGUUCAACCGCUGCACAAGAAUGCAUGGGUGGCAUUGUGAAGAUUGUCCCAUCAGAUGAUGUAAGCAUAUAUACAUAGACCACAAACUAGGAUCAGAUAUGCUAAUAGAUUGCUGAUUAUGAUAUGCUUGUCAUUGCAGAUGGACACUGAUUACUGGUUUGUAUCAGAUCCUGGAGUCACUGUUUCAGACACAUGAACUGAAUAUAUCCUUGAACUAGAGCCCGAUUACCCUUCUUGAUGUUCUUUCCUAUGGAUGCACAGAGGGCAUUUGAUAUGAAUUACCACUUUAGCUUGACCGCUUUGGAGAAUGACCACAAACCAUUUCACUUUACUGUCACUAAAUGCAGAAUAACAUCAAAGAAAGGAAGACCUCUGGAUCACCAUUUCAUUGUAAAUGAGGCUAUACUACAGCCUUGGAGGCUUGGAGCUCCAAGAUCAGUGACUGUAGGCUUGACUGAUUUCCUGUGCAUGCCUGCCAGGGGAUAUUCCUGGGAUGUACAGAUCAUAAUAGGCUGCACAAUCAAGGGCACAGAGCUCAGAGGGGGUGGGGGGGCAAAAAAAGAUUUGUGAAAUUGUAAAUGCUAAUGAUGGUCCUUCCUAUUAAUUCUACAAUGAUCAAAUAAAAGGCUUAUAAAUAUUCAGUUGUCACUGUGGCGGUGAUUUUCAAUUUAGAUACACACUCAGAUUUUUCCAUUAAUUGCAGCUCAGAGAUCAAAUGAGCAACAGAAAUGGAUUGACUUUCUGAACUCUAAGUAAUGGGGUGCUGAACUGCUGAUGAUGGCUUGCGAGCAAGGUAGGCUACUCGUGCUAUCCUGAUGUUCUUUUUUUUUUUUUCGAUUGGCUCGAAUCAGGGAUCCUCCCCAGUUUGGGGUUGAACUGGAGUGGUCCAGUCCUCCAACCACAGCUUUCGUGAUUUCAUGGCCCUCAUAGGACCAUGCAAUAUGUAUGCUGCCCUUGUACCACGUUAGGCCUAUGCAAUCACUGCUGUCACUUGAUCUGCGGAUGGCAGUAAUUGUAAACUUGGGGUCCAGUUCAAACCUGAACUAGAGAGGAUCAAUGUUGAGACCUCUUUGCAAUGGGGCACUUCCUAAACAUGCAGAUGUUCUUUUUUCAAGUGUUUUGGGGCCUUUUUUGCAAUGCAAUUUAUUUAUAAAUGAAAAUGUCGGUUUGGAAUGAAUGGUACCAAGUGUUUGUCAUUUACAUUCCUACUAAAAGGGAAAAAAUUGUCAAUACGUCGUACACAAUCACCGACGGAAUGUCCAAUACAAAUCUUGUGUGGGUGGUUAUCACGCCCCCACAUUUGAUCAGUGUAUAUUUUCCCAGUUAGGCAUUGCGAAGUCCUAAAAUUCAAUUGUGGUUCUUCGACUUUAAAUGUUGUUACGGUGUUGAUUUACCAGCAAAACUGGGAAAAAACAAGAUCUAUAUUCUCCUAGGCCACAACAUUCUGCAUACGGGAGUCGAAUUUAUUAUACCUCACCAUCAAUCGGAACCAGAAGAACUGGUAACAUGAGCUCUUGGGAAGAAACAAGCUGAAAAUGAAGCAUCAGCUACCUACAUGGGGGACGGAGGGAAGACAAUGGAUCUGGGCAGAAGAUCAGUAAUUAUGAUAAGACGGUCGUAUAUUUUCCUAGCUUGCUUCAGAGGUUCCACAGGACCAUCAAGUAAAACUAAAGAAUCAGGUAUUUUGAUAUUUACAAUGAAUGACACAGUAUAAUAAUGAACCAAAGCUGAAGCCAUGAAAAAGAUGCCAAGCCAGUAGAAAAUUAGAAAUGAAUGCCAACUGCUGUAAAACAUAAUCAAGAUAUUGCAUCCUCCAGCCAUUACAUUCCAACGGGUCCAACUGCUUAACUAAAAAGGCAAUGGUAGCCUAGCCUAGCCGUCCAGCGGGAAUAAUGGCAAUGGUAGUAAUACCAAAGGAAAUGAUAGAUGCCACCCCUGAUUGUCAUUACUAAACUUCUAAGCAUCCGAUACCAAAUACAAUUAAAAAGGCCGGCAAAAUGACUCUGCAACAGUGCAUGGAAUCAUGAUUAUGCCCCAGCCCCGAAAGGAUUGGGAAUUCAAUCAUGUGCAUGCAGUGAUCUUGUUUCAUUUUUGUAUCCAUUCAUCACAAACGGAGUGAAUUCUCUUCCAUGAACUAAGCUUCGCCUCCAUCUCUGGUCCCCUGCUGCCAUAUCCAGAUGCAGUUCAUUAAGAACUAAACAGCCACUUGCAUAGAUAUCAUCAAGGUCCCCUAAACUCGUCAACUAGAUGCUUGUCUACACAUGCAUCUCCACCUUGUUCUAGGUUAUUUACACAAGUGUUGAUGGAUGGAUUCAAAAGAAUGCACUCAAAUCAAUCACCCCACAUUUCCACUCUACCAACGAACAAGCAAUGCUCGAGGAAAUAUUGAGAGAGCAGGCAAGAGAUGCUACUAACGAAUUGAGGGACCAGCAGCUGCAGCUCUUUUUCUCAACCUGCCACGGGUCAUGCGGAUUGCCUCUUCCAUGGGAGUCUCUUGUGAGGGAGGAUUUGUGUCUUCUUUGGAUGCAGCAUUGGCCACUUCUACCUGCAUUGCUUCUCCAUCACCUGCUGGUGAGGCUGGCGGCUGGGCAACCAGAGGGGCUGGUUCUUGCAACUGCCUCUUAGUGGGGUUGGAUGGUGCACAUGUUUGCUGUUGAUGCUCUUGUGAGACUGUUUGUUGGCGAGCAGCCGUCGUAGAUGCCAUUCGGCGGAUCUGCCGAGGCUGCUGGCAUUGCUUAGUGCCAAUAUAACAACUCAUCAAUAAAAUUGAGUGUGGUCAAAAAGCUGGUGCUAUAUUUGAAACAAGUAUGAAACUCGAAAACAAAUGUUAUCAAGAGUCUAGAAUCUAACAUUUGGAACUUCAAUAAUUCAAGAUCCUGCCACGACAUAAACCUCAAUAUAUGCUAGCAAUUUAUUUAGUUUAUAUAGAUAGAAACAAUGAUGACAUUUAAUCCUUUACAGCUUUUAUAGAUUUUCCUACCUCAAAAACUGCCCUUCUGAUACCAUCUGAAACUUGAAAAUGAAACAGAGCAUUACAUACAAAUUCCCAGGAGAGAUAACUUUGUCACGUUUAAGAAAUCCAUCGGCAAAACCAACAACUAUCUCAAAGUCAAAACCAACAGCUAUCUUCCUUUUACAAGCAGACGCCCUAGUCUUAGGAAUCAUGCAAGUAUCUCCUCUUACAAACAAUGCACGCAGAAUAAACAGUUACCCAAAGAAGUAGAGCUUCUUCACACUCAAUGAAUAAGCAUUCAGGGUAGGAUUAAAUAUAACAAUGCAUCAGAACAGUUAACUAUAGAUGAUGCACAGUUAUACUCAACAUUUAUGUAGAAAGCAUCAAAGAUUGGGCAUUUUAUCCUCAAAUGAGUACAUAUUUUUUGUAGAUCUUUAUGUUCAAGUCGUAUUUUAUGGUACAAGAAGUUCUAAUCUCUAAGAUCAUUUGAAAGUUCUAGAGUUUUUUGAUAUGUAUAAAUUUAAACCUAGGUUUUAUUUUGUGUAAUUCCGUUCACAUAAUAAAAUUUGCAGUCAUUGAAGUGGUUAUUUUGCAUCUGUACAAAUGCGAAAUACCAAAGAACUGUAGGAGGUUUUAGAAUACUUCAUUUAAAACAACAAAGUAGCUGAGGCAGACAGGCUGUCCACAUUGGUCCCUGAGUUCCCAAGCACCAAGAUAUACUGCCUAGAUAUAAUAUAUGUUUAUUCUUUAGUUUAGGCCAAAGUAAUAGAUGUAAUAUAUAGCAUGUAGGUUGGCUCCUGUGUUAACUAAAUCAAAUCAAAAAGAGUUUAACUUUCACAGGUUGAUUGCGUCACUGGGAAGACGCACAAGUUCCAGAGCUAUUUUCCUUAACAGCUUUGCAAGCUAGAGAAUAUGCAGCUGGCAGAAAUUGUACCUCUAAUAUAGAUAUCCUAAAAAAAUAAACAAGAAAAUAAUGAUUUCAGUUUUCUCAAAUUUCCAAUUACUAAAAGAGAUCACAUAAAAAAAGUUGAACCAUUAAAUGGCAAAAGAUCAUAGACAUCCGUCAGGGCAAAAGGGAACACAAAAUGUGACAGUAAAACCUGAAUAAGUAACGUGCAUGAUUACAUUUUUUCCAAGAUCAGAUCUUUAUCAAAAACUCAACCCAUCUUUCUUGAUAAAGAAACCCUAGGUUUCUUUUGAACUUGCAAUAUCAUUUUCCCCUGGGAAGAGCUCAACUUUCUUUCCAUAUUUAUGCCAAUCUCCCUUCCCAUGAACAACUAAGAUUCUUCCGAACCACCAAAGCAAAUCUCUAACAUGAAAUAUGGAUCCUACGCAAACCUUUUGAACUGAUUAAACAAGAAACAGAACAAGGUAAGGAUCUCCCUACAGUUCACACACACACACAGAGAGAGAGAGAGAGAGAGAGAGAGAGAGAGAGAGAGAGAGAGAGAGAGAGAGAGAGAGAGAGANNNNNNNNNNNNNNNNNNNNNNNNNNNNNNNNNNNNNNNNNNNNNNNNNNNNNNNNNNNNNNNNNNNNNNNNNNNNNNNNNNNNNNNNNNNNNNNNNNNNNNNNNNNNNNNNNNNNNNNNNNNNNNNNNNNNNNNNNNNNNNNNNNNNNNNNNNNNNNNNNNNNNNNNNNNNNNNNNNNNNNNNNNNNNNNNNNNNNNNNNNNNNNNNNNNNNNNNNNNNNNNNNNNNNNNNNNNNNNNNNNNNNNNNNNNNNNNNNNNNNNNNNNNNGAGAGAGAGAGAGAGGAGGAGGAGGAGAAGGUAUGCGUAAUGUAUGACAGUGGGUCAACAUCUCCAAUGCUGCAGUGUCACUGAUAUACAUUGUGUUUUUUCACGACAUGGAAGUUGGCUCAAUGCCUUUCCCGUGGCAAGAUCUUUGCUUUGGAAAUGUUGUGUUGUGAUAGAUAUAAUAUAACAAAUAUUACAUCUAGUAACCCCAAGUUUCAAACUAAAACCACCACCAUUAAAUUUGCAAGCUGGAUUUUAAAUUUAUAGUUUCCGUCAAGGUGUAAACAGAGUCAAAAGGACAAAUAGUAAAAUAAGUCUAAAUGCAAGCGCAUGCAUCCCUCUAAUGGUCCUGCUAUUUCUGUUCCAAUCAUUUCAUUUUUUAACAAGGGUAACAUGAUUAUCACAAUUUAUGUCCUAUUAUAAUGAUAAGGUGCCAAGUAUCUUCAAAGGUAGUUUGAAAUAAAGAAUCUUCAUUAUCUUUGGUAUUUCCUGAAGCUUGAUGCGUAGUAUAUAUACAGACACAUAAAUGUCUGUUUAUUACUAAUAUCAUCUCUUAUGCUCAAUUUAUAGGCACUAAAAUCGCUUCAACACCCGUUAAGAUUCGUUUGAAGAAUGGAUGAUGGUGACCCUUUUCUUGAUCCUUCUUGAUAAUGUCAUCUCAUUGGAAGACCACUUGAUGACAUUGUCUAUGCAUUCCUAUGGCCGACAAGUUCAUUACAACGCCAUCUCAUGUAGCCUAAAUAGCAUUCUUAGCUAUCUUUAUUCAUGCCAUCACCACCUUGGCCCUCAAUUUCUCAUCCUUUUCUCUGCUCCAACUUUGCACUUAGAUGUUGAUUGCGCUAGUGAAGCCAUGUGUCCUGGAUCUAUCACUAACUAUGUUAUUUAUUUUAAAGACAGAGAAAGAAGCAAGUCAUCAUUUCUCAUUUGUUUGUUAAAGCUGAGUAUGGCACCAUUGUUCGUAUCUCUGUUGAGGAGGCCUAGCUUCAAUGCCUAAUUUACUAAAACAAGGGGCAUCUUCAAACACGACUAGCAGCCUUAGUUGUGAUAAUUAAAAUAUUGCUCAAUUUUCAAUGAUUUGAUACUCCAUAUUGUACCAAGCAUAUUAGAUUAAUUAUCAUUUCAUACCAUGUCGCUGAGACGACACCCCUUACUACAUAGUUUCUUUACAAAUCAGCUUUCUAACUUCAUGAAGUCACACACUAGUCCACAUUUUUUCCACGAUAAACUGCAUACGAUCCACAAUGAGUUUCAAAUACAAACUAAUCUUUGUAUAUUGCCAGCAUGCUGAACACUUUGGAUUUAAGACAUGUUUAUAUAUUUUUGGAUCAUUGUCACUAGAGCAAGGAUCGGGUCAUUGCCAUUGGAGCAAGGAAUUGAGAGAGAAAGAGAGAGAGAGAGGAGGAGGAGGAAUAAAGGAGGUGCUUACUAUAAUAGAAUAACAUGCAUGGCUUUUGUUACAACUAUACUAAAAAAAACUCUAAUUAUUGUGUAAUGCAUAUGCAUCACCACAAUGGACAAUCAUAGAAAUUUUCAAAUCAAAGACAUCAGACUUGCUAAUCGUUAGAUAUUUAAUUUAAAAAACAAAUAUGUACUUUUACUUUCCUAUAAAGUUUAAUCUUUCUGGUUCUUAACUAAUUCAUAUUUUUAUUACUUUAACAUUAUCUGUUUAAUUUUUGGGAUGACUAGAAUGAGUUCAUCAUAUACCAGUUGCUAUGCUGAUCAGCAUAUACGGUAGCAUAUGGCAGUAAUAUAAACCAUUGGUUCCAUCAAAAAACCAUUCAACCCCACAAAUAAACAUAUAGAUGGGUUCCUCCACAUAGGUGAUGAUAUGCGACACAAUGCUUGUAGAAACACAGUAGAGCAUGCUCCUAAGACUGGUGAGACCACCUAGGCCCCAACAACAUGCAUGGCAAUAUUCCACAAGAAGGAUUGUACAUGGCCAAUCAAAGCAUCAAUGUGGGGCUAUUGUUAAGGGGUGACUUGCCCAAUCAUUUCACUUAAUAAGGUAGUCCACUGGGAAACAUUAUUAAUCCUUCCAAUGUAUCCACAAAUUUAAACAUCUGGUUCCUAACACCAGAUCAGGAUAAUGCUUCUUGUUUUGCUUAAUUUUUAAAUGGAGGAAAGUUUCUCCUAGGUUAUGUUGCAUAUCAUGACAAUCCUUAGUACUUCAAUAAGCUUGAUCACAGCAAAUUCUAAAUUGAUAUAAAAACAAGGGCAUUGAUAUGGCAUGCCAAAUACUACAUUGCUAGGAGAAUAGGAUACAGGUUUCCUUGCAAUCUCUACUUGCAAUAGGUGGAAAAAAAAGAAAAUUAUUUUAGUAACCUUACAAUCUCUACUUGACAAAGGAAAAAGCUUUAGUACACUGGGAGAACAUUUUUCAUGAUUGGUGUUAUUAGCUUAUAGUGGUCUGCUGGAGAUAAACACACAAUCAAUAUAUUGCAAAUUAAAAGAAGGUUCUACUACUGGACCCAUCGAUUCUUUUCACUUUAACCCAGAAUGUAUAAAAGAAUCAUAGUGAAUGACCACAAUUUUGUCAUAUCAGAUAAAUGUGCCUUCUUAAGCAAAUGAAAAGCAAGCAAAUGCUAGAGGCAGUGCAAAAAGCUAUAUUUCUAGAUUGUCAAGUAUAUUGAGUGGUCUGGUAAAAUUUCAUUAUAAUUAGAAGAAAAGAAAAACAAAGAGAACACAGUAAGACCUAUUUACUCUUCUCAAUAAGCACCUGGACAGGGUGUGAUCUCGAUGACUGCGAGGGUGACUGCGAAGCAAUGUAUUGUAAGACUUCAAAAAGCCUUGUCUGGCCAUAGCUUGCAGUCUUUUGCCAAUAAAGGGCAACAAUAUCCCCAGCUCUCGUUCUCAGCUCAAGUAAGUUACGAUCUAUUUCAUUCUCAUGCUUUGCAACAUAUGGCCGAAAGAAAGUUUCAUAGACAUAUGUGGUUCCCUGCCAUAAAUUCACUAAUUAAAAAAAUUAUAACUAUAGAUGAGAUAACAUGCCAUAGCCCGAGAGGGCAUAGAUUUCACCUUUGUUUUUGGGUACCAAAGAUAUACAAAGGAUGCCAGCUUUGCCUCGUUGUACAUUGGUACCCUUCAAGAAAGUAGAUAAGAUCCCAAGUUGUAACAAGAAAAGCUGAAUAAAAGUAAAGAAAGCAAGGCUGUGGAGCCCAAAUUUCCAAACCACUGAGCUACCUUACCAUGAAAUAAAAGAUUCUCCAACCCUCUCAAAGACGGUCAGUGCAGCAACUAAAAUCCUAGAAAAAUGAAUUAAAAUCGAAAGGUCUCCUUUUAGUCCCACAAGUGACCAGAAGAUAGGAUUGAAAAUAAAAUCUUUCCACCGACAAGCAACAAGAACGUACCAAUACUGACACCAGAAUAUCAGCUGUUCAACCUCUGGCUUGUUCAACUCCACAGCUUUGAAGCAUUCAUAGGCCGGAUAAGCAUAGCCAAGGACCAAUCUGCAGACAGAAACGCUCGAGUUCUCAUCUAAAUUCACUUUCUUGAAAAAAGAUUUCUAAAGACAAGAAACAUGAAACGAAGAUCUACUCGAAUGUAAUGAAGCAGCUAAAAAACCAAAAAAACUAAUCCAUGUCAGAAUUACUAACACCAAGGCUCUUGUAACAAAACUUCCCAUCAUCUUGAUCCACCAAACAUGUAGAAAGUUACGGCCGCUCCCUGAGCCCCCUUCAGCAACACCAAGCACUAGAAGUCAAGGAAAAUGAAAACAGACGGCAUUAUUAUAUAAACAAGAAAAGAUUACUGUACCGUGAUUCCCAGAUCAUUGGAAGUGCGCGCGCGCGUCUGCAGCAGAAAAUUAACUAAAAAGCUUAUUGGAGAGCGGAGUGUAACAAAACUAGGGGCAAGGAAAACACAGAAAAAGAAGAACGCCGUGCAGGAAAACCCUGGAUUUAAAGAUCUGACUGAAAUCAACUCCGCAUAUCUCCGCAUUGCAGAAUAUGAGCCAAAAUCCCACCGAUUUCCAUCGCAAGAAACAAAAGAGAAAACCCUUAAAACUGAUCAAGAAAACAAAUCAAGUAUCAGUACAGAAGCCGCAAAAGAACCCUUAUUCGGUGCAAAAAUCCGAGAAGAAGCGCAAGACAUGCUGAUUUAAGGCGACGAAGCCGACAUCGGAAGAGAAGAGGAAAGAGGGUAAAGAGUAAAGACCGAUACCUUUCCGAGAUUGGCCGCAAGAGGGAAAGAGGGAGACAAAAUCCUUCCACCGAGACGAUAACGAUAAAAGAAGCGACAGAGAGAGAAAGGAAAAGGGAGUAGAUCUCGCCAAGUCUUCAAGGGUACGAAAUACGGCGAGCGAGAGCUCUUUUUACCGUGUAGCUGCUCUUCUUUUAAAGCCAGAGAACGGCGAGGGAGAGAGACCGUCGCCUCGCCCCCACCCGGCCGUCUCGAUUUGAACUGGUUCUUGGUUCUCCCUCACCGGGGCGUAUCGUAUCUCUAUCCUACGUGGAUGGCUACGUCGGUGCUUACUGGUGAGCGAGUGGAUAGACAACGGACGGCCGGAGGUACGGAAUCUGUUUUGGGCAUUGGAUACUGGCCGUUUGAUUGAUGGAUCACGGAUCGGAGGUCCCGAGGGCUUUUUCCCGUGCAGGUGGACCCAAAGUGACGUUCGCGAUAACGUUGCUGUCGCUGCGCAAAGGACGCUCCCCGAACUGUUGUGGUAUGAGUUUACCGUUGCAUUCCGUUUGACGACCGCCAGCCGUUGUCACGAAAAAAAUUAUAAACACUCACAAAACUAUUUCACUUAUCACCUAACCAAAUAAAUUAUUUUGCAUGUAAGAUGCUAGUGCGGAUACCAGUGCCAGAUCAUCCGUCACUCAAAUCUACAUUCGCCGCAGAAGGAUGUUCCAGCCAGUUUGAUUUUAUUCAGUAAGUGAUUUUAUGUUAUUUGGACUUAUUAGAGUAUUUUGUUAUUUGCCAGUCGUUAGGGCUUAUUUUGAUAUUUCGUUAUUUUGAGAGUCUUCUGUGAGACUAUUUUUUUUUUUCAGAAGCUUAUUUGCAUAUUGCCAUUUUGAGGUCUUUAUAAAAUUGUUUGCACCUAAAUACUUAAUAGCAAGAUGCACAUAAGCAAUAUCAUCGAUUUAUACGUGUAACUGUCAUUAUUGUAUUCAUGGCAAUUAUGCAUCUAUUAAUUUAUUGCAUAGCAAAGAUAUCUUUAAAAUGCUGCAUGUAGUAUUAUUUUUAGAGUUAACAUCCUAAUUUCAGAUUUUAAUAUUAAAAUAAUUAGACAUGCAUUUUUUUGGAAGAUUUUUGAGAGAAAAAUGAAUGUUAAAGAUAUUUUAUUUUAGAAAUGAUAUAAAUGAAAAUAAUGGCUAUUAUUAUAUUAUAAUGGUACAUUAUAAUGAAAAAUAACUGAAAAUAAUAAAAAAAUAAUAGCUAUAUGCUAUCUGCCCCAAUGAUAUAAUGAGAGGUGCUCGAAAUCAUUAUAACAACCACUAAAAUGAUAAUAAUACUAUUAUUUAAAAUCAUGUUGCACCAUAUUGAAGCCAUCAUAGAAAGCAGUUGCUAUUUGCCACUCUUGCUGACUUUUGAUCCAAUUAUUCCUAAUUUUCUCUCACUAGAAAUCCUUGGUUUCUCUUUCUUUUUUAUUUUUUUUCUUACCAGAUAAUAGAUUAUCCAUUGCACUACUAGGAACCACCACAUCUCCCACAACAUCAAAGGAAGUUUCUUGACACUGAAUGAUCAGAAGGGGAUCGCAUAAGUUUGAUGAAAGAAUGGACUCAAUGCUAGAAUUAACUACUGUAUAGGAGACUACACUCCAUCAAGUAUAGAAAAGCAACACAAGAGGGCCUGCAGCUCUCUCUACUUGCAAGGGGAGUAAUUUGUUGUUUGCCAUUCUACCUCAUCCUCUCUUGCUCUCUCUUUCUCUUUCAUUCCCUCCUAGGUUGACACCUCCUCUCUCUCUAUCUCUCUCUCUCAUAUUCCAUCUGUCCAUCCUUUUCUCUCUCCCCCUUCCAACAUAACUCAAAAGCAUCCAUUGCUCCUUAACCUGUUGCUUUACCCUAUAUCUUCCUCCUUCCACCAAGGCCCCCUCACCUAACCCCCCAACCCCCACCAUAUUCAGAUCAAUCCUCAAGCUUAGUUCUUAAAUAGCAAGCAUGGCUCGGACUUUAAUAUCUUAGGUUCUAGGCUGGACUGAGAUAGGCUUAGGCUAAGGUUUUUAAGCUAUUGACAAUAUACUUAGGUUAGGCUUGGACCUAGGUCAUUGCUCAAGUCCAGUGCUCAUUAUCUGUUGAGAUUAAUGGGCACAAACUCACUGUAUCCGGCUUACCAAUUAAGAAUUGGACUCAUUCAGACAUUCCAUCAAACACAUCACAGGCAUGAAAAGAUAAGCACGGNNNNNNNNNNNNNNNNNNNNGCGCACGGGAGGAUGAAGAAGAUGGAUGCGGCGGCGGCUGAAAACCCUUUCAACCUAAAACAAACAAAGCCCUUCAUCCCACGGGAAAACAGGUAAUGUGUACCUUAUAUAUAAUGAAAUGACAUUUUGCAAAUAGGUCCCUCUCAAAGCCACUAUUUGGAGCAAAGUCCAAAAUAAUCAACAUUAUCUAACUUGAUUUUCUGCCCCACACCAUCUUAGGAACAUGUCUCUCAUCUCUCCCAUACUAAUGCAUUCUUUUAUAGUAACAUUCUUUCUAUCCAUCAUCUAACUAAUAACUGAAAAUAAAUGCACAAACCAAAACUAGAAAUAUAGUUAAAAAAACUAUAUUGCUUCAUUCUGAAAAAAUAUAUUUUGCUUGGAUUAGUUAUUCAAAUUAAUCAUUAAAUUCAUCAUCAUAAAUCAUAUCAUAAAGCAAAAGAACGCUCCACAUCUACAUGUCAUAAGUCAUCGAUUGCCUAUUUGCUUCAUACUGCGAGGUCAUUUUGGCAAUCUUCUUCUUAUAGAGUUAUAUAUAUAGGAGCCUAUCUUAACUUUCUAAAAUUGCCAAUUUAGCCCGUUCAAACUAAAAUAGAUAGAAGUCUAUUUAGCCACUGCAUUUGGUUGCUUUUGACAAAAAAGGCUCUUUAGCUCACAAUCUGAAAAAUCAAACCAAAUUGAACUGAUUUUUUUAGACUGGUUUUAUCCACUUGUAGUAUAUAUUUUAUUCAGUUUUGAUGUAAAUUUUAAAAAUUAAUUUAAAUCGGUUCGAUUUCAAAAAAAAAAUUUAAACGGACCGGUUUGAACCGGCGAACACCCCAUUAUUUGUUGACGCCAUAGCGUGUCCCUCGCUCCCUCCGUAUCACAUGGCGUGUCGCAACUUGAGUAGCAUUUUGCGAACCUUUUCUUGGGUUCCAGGUUUGGGCCGCGUAGCGUUACUCUAGCGGGAAUCAUGUACCCAAACCCGUAAUGCCGGCAAGAGCGAGGUAUGUAAAGGCUAGCUGAGAGAUACGCCCCCCAAACACCUAACACCAAAUAAAAAGAAGCGGGGAGGUGGACGGGGAGGGGAAGGGAGAGGGGGCGAGAGGUUUGGGGAAAGAGAAGGCAACGGAGGAUCAACGCUUUCGUCACGAAGAAAUUACUUCAAGGUACUUUCCCCGAUUGGAUUGCCUUUAAUCUCUUUCGCCCAAUUGCUUCUCCGUUCUUCCUACUGGGAAUCGGAAUCUAAUUGGGUCACCGCUAGGGUUAGGAUUAGGGGUUUUGAAUAGUUUUGGCCAGUCCAUGCCGUUUACUGUGUUUCUCCGAACGUCGAAUUAUUAUUGCGGAGUCGGUAGAUUUUUAUGUGCUGAAUCCUCUAAAAGUACAGUCUUUUUUUUUUUUUUUACCUUGCUAGAGUUUCUUCAAUUAUUUGCCUCAAUAUUCUCGCUCCUGUUUAUUUUGUGGCAUGGUUAGCUGCUAUUUUGAUCGUUAAUGCAUUAUGUUGGGAUAUUAAACGGAGUAUCAUUUUCUUUUACCAUUGUUGAUACCAUUGAGAUCAAAUGUUAGAUAUUUGGCUGGUUGAUAUUGAACCAUAUAAUUUCUUUUUUGAACCUAGCCAUAGUAGAGCCAAGUUGUUUUGGGUGAACAAAAAGAAAGAAUGAAUUAAAAUGGACGAAUAGAACUGAAACACAUCCUCCUGUUGUUUGCUGGUGUUAUUACUAGUUAAUUUGGUUCUUUACGUGUGGAAAUAUAUUCACUCGACUGUUUUGUUGAAAGAAAGAAGCAGAAAAAGAACCUGUUAGCGUUCCUAUAAGGUAGCCAUAAGCUUUAUGCACCUAGCACUUAUAUAACUUUUUGUAUCAGCUUGAGUUUUGAAGCCGAUAUCUCACUGUCCGACAUGUUGUUAGGUUUAUAUUGGAAAAGCUUGGGGUGAAAGUUGCUAUUACUAGAGUGGCUACCUCAUGGAAUCAGAGCAAGACCAAGAGCCUUUAAAGCCUAUCUUGUGCUGGCCGGCCUAGGUGACCAGCUAAUAAAGGUUACCAUAUAGCCAGUUGAAAAGAGAGAUCCGCCAUACAGUAGGUUGCUUGAUACAAUUGGAAUGCAAAAUUGCAUAAAUUGAGAAAUCUAGGGUUAUGCUAAGGCUUUUUGAAGGCUGCAUCUGGCCCAACCAUGGGUUAUAUGAGUUCGGGCUUUAAGCCUGCUAGACUUGGACCUAACAUUUCAGUUCAGAAAUUUAUUUCAGGCAAAAUUUGUGCAACCUUUGGUCUUUUUCAAGUUUGGUUUAGUUGAGAUAUGAUCAACAUGCAUACGAUCAUGCAUGCUAAAAAUGUUGAAUCAUAAAAGUCAUCAUAGCCAACCACUGCAUAUAUGAAGGUCAGCCAAUAUAGGUUCAAAGUCUACUUACCCAUAAAACCCUUGUUAAAUUUCUUAAUCUCUGCAGCCAUAAUCUUGGUGCUAUUAAAGUGAGUCAAAGUCCAGGCCCACUCUCUGCAUUUAUCAUUAAUCUUGACCAAAUAUCUCUUCCUCCUAGAUCUUUCUUCUCUUACGAAGACCUAGAAGAUGGAGACUAAAGUAGGGGUUUUGCUUCCAAAUUGUCAACAUAUGAGAUAGUUCCUCAUAUCAGUCUAACCAAUUAAUGUCAAUUUGGAGUAACAAUCAAGCCAAAGGGAGCUAAAAAGCAAGAGUGCAAGAAGGUAGUAGGAUUUCUUGCAAUUUAGUCCUCAAGGGAGUUUAUGCCUAAAGGAGUCAGGACUUUGGUGGUAACUUUCAUCUUGAGGUUGCAAAUUGGAUGGAUCGAGCAGCAUAAUGCACCCUUUUGACUGAGAGAAACUUAUUUUGAUCCAUACCUGUGGUGGGCGAAGUCCUUAAAUUGGUCCGAAGCUAAUCAUGGGCUUCCUGCUACAAAAGGAAACCUUAGAAAUGAUUUGUUAGUUAAGCGGCUGUAUUACUGUAACUGUCAAGUCUCAUCCUAACUAUUUAAGGCCAGCUUAAUAAAUCCUUCUCCUCCAUUCGUUUCUUUGAAGGGCUACAUGCGAUGUCACUAAAGGGCUGUUUGAUUGCUAAUUUCAUAAGAUCUAGUUAACUGAAAACCUAAAAUAAAUAAAGUUAUUUUUCUCACUUCUGAAUGAUCACUUUCUUCAUAACAGGUUCUAGGAUAAGUAACCAGACAAUAUUUUUAUACUUUGUUUAUAUGAACCAUAAUGAACCAAUUUUUUUGUAAAAUGUUUAACUCAGUUUUUUAGUGUAGGCAGUUUUUUUUGCAUGGCAUCAGAUGUUGGAAGGGUGGAGGAUGUAGUUUGUUUGGCAAAGUCAGUAUGUUGACAAGGUCAUUUGCAUUAAACGGACUGGUGUUGCACAUUUGGAGAAGUUGCUACUUAAUUUGGGAUAAAUAUCUUUUAAAUGGAAAUCUUAUUUGUAUGGACAACAAAAUAUCUGAAAUUUUGUAGCAUCUUCGUUUAAGGGAGAGAUAAUGUGGAUGAAUAUGGAUGAAACUUGGGCAGUCCAUAUUAGCAGGACUUUGGAAAUCAGAAGAUUUCAUGGUUGCAGAUUGACUUCUCCACAGGAUAACAAAGCUGCUCUAGUCUAUAGACUGACAGGAAACAUUCUAAAUAGUUUUUCCUGCUCAAAGCAAGCUCCAGAGGUGCAUGAAUACUUGCUGAGCAUUACUUGAGUAGAGUUGUAGAUUUUUUCUGGGGAUUAAGAUCUUAAUGUUUAACAUUUUUGCAUCCAGUUGGCAUUCUAAUCUAACUCAUUAAGCUGUCAUUCUGUGCCAUAUUAAUUUUACAAUUAUGUUGUUGUCUCUACUAUUUGUCUGUCGAACACAACUAGCAAGCACAGCACGUUCCUCUUUAUCUAGUGUUACUAAAGAGUUGUCACUUUUUACUAUAAAAUAUGAAAAGAAAUGAUAAAAAUAGUACAAGAUCUCCUCUCUUUUUAUUUUGCUAUCUAAUGUUUUUCUCUUAAACAGAAAACCUUGUAUCAUCUGCUAGUAUCGCACACAUAAAGAGGUCAUGGAGGACUGUAAGGAAGGUGAGUCAUUGAAUUUUAAGUCUUACCUCAGUCAAACAAACAAUGUCUGUAGGCAUGAGUCGGAGUGCCACCAAUCUCAAAUUGAGGCACUACAUGAAAAGCUUAUGGAGGUAAAGGCUAGCAUUAAAUGCUCUGAAGACAAAGCAAAGAGGGAGUUGGAACACCUUUGGCGUAAUGGCAAAAUAGCUGCCACCUUACUGACUUACCUGAAGUCGAAAGCAAGAAUUAUGGCUAAUCCACAUAUGGCCCAUGCUUCAUGUGGGAUCAAGCAUCGGGAGGGAGUGGGACUGGUUGACAAACAUGACAUACCACUAUCUGACUGGUCUAAGGAUAUUGAUCUUUCUCCAUUUGAAAGUUCAGAGGAGGAAAUACUACGGGCAAGCGGCAAUGAGUCUGGAUCUAUUGAUGCAAAUGAUGGAGCGUACCUUGUUGAAAUACUAAAGUCAGUGCACACGGUAACAGAUGUUAUGGAGUCUCUUGUCAAAAAGGUUAUUAUGGCAGAAAAUGAAGCUGCCAUCGAAAAAGAGAAAGUUAAUCUUGGCAUGGAAGAAAUUAGAAAGAAGACACUCCAAAUUGAUAGCAUGUCUGCAAAAGUUGAAGAGAUGGAAAAAUUUGCACUGGGUGCAAAUGACAUUUUGAAUGAAAUGCGGCAAAAAGUUGAAGAUAUGGUGCAGGAAAUAUCUAGACAACGACAGCGAGCUGCAGAAAAUGAACAAGAGCUUUGCCGUGUAAAGCAAGAUUUUGAGGCAUUGAAAUCCUAUGUUAGCAGUCUCAUCAGUGUGAGAGAAACCCUUAUUUCCUCAGAAAAACAAUUUCAAACAAUGGAAAAGCUUUUUGAAAGGUAUCAUCCUGUUACUUUGCUUAACUGCUUGUGACUUAACUGCAAAUGCUGUGCUUUUCAUUGGAAUGAAAUCCAUAUUUUUCUGAGCAUAUGCUUAUUGUUUAUUUUCCCCUUAUUAUGCACUUGUGUUCUUGCUUUAUGAUGCUUCCUUUUUUUUCCUUUUUACAUUUUUUCAGAUGCAGCAUGACUUUCGUACUACCUUUGUAGUGUAGCAGUCUAAUUUGGAUUUGAUAAUGGUCUACAAUAAAUAUAUAAUCUCCUAAAUUUGCAUGACCUGCAUACAUAACAUUUCAGUUACAAAAGGAGUCCUGCUAUCUGCUAUUGCACCCUUCAUGUUUCUUCUUUUGAUUCACCUUCAACUUCAAUGUGUCCCUGAAGUUAACUGUUUCGCAUGUAAAGCCAGAUUUGCUUCUUUGUGUUACUACUUGCUCCUGAUUUUGAGAUUGUGUUUGAAGUUGAUUAAAUUUGUACAGAGACCAAGUUAAUUUGAUUUUUCUAUGAUCUGAAAAUCACUGGGUUCAGUGAAAAUGGCAUGUUACUUUGUAACAAUGUGAUUGCAUAAAUUGCCAAGAAAUUGCAAAAUAAUGCAUGCUUAUGUAAUUUAAUUACUCACUAUCUAAACAUUGAGCCCUCUUUGGUUACCAUAGGAUGUGUCUUCCAAGAAUUAGUAGUUACAGCAUUCUUGCUAUUCUAGGGUAACAGCAAACCAAUGUCUUUUAGCUUGUGCAAGUUAGACUAAUUGUUAAUUGUACUGGCGUCAUGCUGUUUGUUUAACAAUCAUCUGGUUUUUCAUAUGACACUCAUGUUGUGUUUGUUUAUAAUAAUCGAUGUGAGCGUGUCAUUUAGUCAUUUGAGAAACGUAAAAAAGCAUGGUGGCUGAAACUUGAGGAAAAGCAUUGGAGUUGAUGGAAUUGCUAUUCUGGUAUAAAGUCAAAUAUGUAGAAUCUUAAAGGAACUCUCGCACGCUACCAUUUGUAAAAACCAUGCAGUGAAUUCAUUGAUAUUCAAAAUGCAUUGAUUCAUAAAAUAAUGUAAAAAUGCUUAUGAAAACACUUUUUUUUUUGAGAGAGAGAGAUUGGACAGAAGUCCAAUCAAAAGCUUAUGAGAAACACAUUAAACAUGCAUGUGUUAUUUUUGUACAUAAGUCUAUAGGUCACUGAACUCUUUCUUAAACCCCAUGUCAUAGUGUAAGUGGAUCAGAAUUCAAGACUACUGCUGAAAAGGUGAAUUGACCAUGUGAUGCUAAUGGUAGGUUCUAUUGGAUUAGAGAGUAUAAGAGCCUAUGAGAGAAUAUAAUGUCACCAUGAUGUCACGUCCAAAAGAUUAGCUGAGAUGAUGGUUGAAGAUACAUGGCCACAAAAGAAAAGCAUGGGCAGGAGGAAGCAAUUAACUUGUGUAAGGUUAAGUCACAAAGGUGUCACUUUGCUGACAUGGCAACUUUAUGGAAAAGUUGACUUAAAUGGGAAGGUGGAUCCUAGGAAAAGUAUAAGCAACAACGUAAAAAUCCCCAACAUUGCUAAUACACAAUUGUAGGCUUACGGGGUUGGUGAUGCAAGACAACAAUAACAUAGGGUAAGCGCUUUUCAUAAUUAGGUCGGGUUGGGGUUUCAGACUCAAACUGGAUAGAUCAUGUGUUCAGCAAGCCCUAAAACCCAACCCUAGGCCCUUAGAUUGGACUCAAUCAAACACUUACCUUUUAUCAUGACCUUUCCCAUAAUAAAUGCUGAUCUAACUUCAUUUGUUUCAUUUUUUACCCAGCAAAUAAAAUCCAACGGCCUCAAUAUGUAAGUAUGUAUGUAUAUAUGUAUACAUGAGAGAGAUAGGGACUACUCUCUAGACACAUCCAUAACUCAUCCUGCCCAUCUCUUCAAGUGUCUCAUAUCUGUCACUCUAUCUUCCUCUCUACUACCUUAGGGUGAGCCCCUUCAAUCUUCAACAUAUCCAUCAAUCUAUCCCCUUCUCUACUAGCUUAAGGUGAACCCCUUCGUCUUGUAGAACUAUAGGCUCUCUUUGUCACCAGCUAAGCCUUGGACUUCCUCAGAGUCCAUUGGCUCUUUUUCUUGAAGCCUGUUGACUUUCUCUUCCUCACAAGCCAAGGAUCAAAUUUCCUGACAGCACAUCCGCUCUGGGUGGAACCCUGCUUGUUGGCUCUGAUCGAGUUUUGCCACUGGCUCUUAUUGAGAUGAACUGAGUUUCUCAAGCGGUAACUGAGUUUCUCAAGCAGGAUGCUAUGUUGGAGUAUGUUUUCUCCCAUUUUCAUUAAAAGCCCAUUAGCUAUCCUUGUCUCCUAGUAUGCAUUUUCUCUCUUUAUUGUGGUUCUACCAUUGCUCAUCAUGCUGACUGAAGUGUCACCAAACCACUGGCUACGCCUACUACAGCUUUAUUCAAUAGAAUGAUUUUAUGGUGGCAAGAAUUUUAUGAUGAUGUAAUCUUAAAAAGAGAUAUAGAUAUGUAACCCGAAAAGAAAUUUAGUCCUUUUGUAAAUUUUUAUUACAAGUUCUAUAUACAUGAAACAUUUGUGCUGGAGCCUAGGGGUGUCCUUUUUUUUUUAUGCAUGAGUUUCUUGCCAUAUCUUUUGAAUUUCUGCAUAAAUUUGAUCUUCUUGCCAUAUCUUAAUGAUGGUCGUCUACAAAUAUUUGAUAAACAUCCAGCGAGGUACUAAAUUUCUUUAUAUCUAAAAUUGGGUUUCUGCAGAAAAUAUCAUGUUGAUCGUGUUAAUCACUUAAUUUUGUGGUCUUUUAUAGGUUAAUUGCCAAGACUGCUCGCCUUGAGGCAGAGAAAAUGCAAAAGGAGGCUGAAGUUCAGAAGCUUAUGGAAGAGAAUGUCAGGUUAACUGCUAUGCUUGAUAAGAAGGAAGCACAACUGCUGGCUAUGAAUGAACAGAUGAAGUUCAUGGCAUUGAACAGUCCUGGCAUAUAGUUCAUGAUUUACCAUCAGAAUUUUCACCUCAGGUUAUCCUAAAUGGUGAUAGCAACAUGCUAUCUAUUUUCAUUUUGCAAAUUACAUAUGCUAACAAAUCUAUUAUUGGAAAGGACAUAUGGAUGUUGAGAUCACGAUGUUUGCUAGAGAUGGGGCAAUUUGUAUCGAGCGGAGAAUUGUGCUCUUAUAAGACUGUUCAUUAGAUUAUGCAUUGUCAACAGUGCCUGCCUAUCAAUUCAUCCUUACUAUUUAGACCUUAAUUCCCAUUAUAGAUUGGUUGCUUAUCGUUUAUCUUAUGUAGAGAUGUGAUUUUGUACAGGAAAGCAUGAAGGAAGAAGGGAUGGGCUGAUCAGAAAGAUCAGUGGCAUGCCUAUAAACCACAAACCUUUGAUCCUAUCUUGUAUAUGUCCCGUCAUGCUGAUUUGGACCUCCAAUAUGUUAUAAAUCAAUCCUACAAUAUGUCAGUUCAUGGUCUCUAAUGACAAGAACUUUCUUAGAAAAUAAACAUGUUGACAUUUUGUAUGAUCCAAUAAGUUUCAAGUUCACCACUAACCAGCACAGGCAGGCAGUUCUGCUUGUCUGCCGCAGUGUAUGCCUCUAGCUGAUCUUGUGCUGAACAUGUCACUCUAAGGGCAAUUUGCCCUACUUUUCAAUAGUCUCUUUCAGGUAGUUUACAUCAUGUAUUUUAUUGAUUUCUUCAUGAAACCAAGUCCACCCUAACCAGAGAGCAGCUCCUUGGUGGCCGAAUUCUUCUGCCCAUGCCACACUUGCUCCAUGAUCUUGCAUCCUCAUUCCACAGCAUCCACCCAUCAAAUUUUUUAAUCUAUCUCUGCCUCUUUAUUUUUUAUGGCAGAGACCUCUUCUCUCUUCAUUUAAGAAAAAUACAUUAAUUCAGUAAUUAUUUCACCACGUAAUACAAUAAGGAAUGCUGAUGAUCCUGAUGAUCAAUCACCUGAGUGUAGUAAAGAUUGAGCUUCACAUUUCACACUCACAAAAUCACCAUUGACCACGAUAUACAAUUUCUAAAUUUCAAAAAGCACACAAUUAAAAAAAAUUCCAUGUAAAAUCACCGCUCGGUGUCUAAAUUUCAUUGAAAAAAAUCAAGAAAAUCAAGUUUUAUGAAGGUCUUUUACUUAAACAUUGAGUGGAAAUGGGUGACAUGGUAUAGCCUCUCACGCCCAUGCACAAAAGAAAAAAAUCCCAUGCCAAAUUACCAUUGACCAUGGUCUACAACGGCUACUUUUUUUUUUUAAAAAAAAAUUCAAGUUUGCAUGCAUGCACUCAUGCACAUGCACCAAAAAAAAAGAAAAAGGAAAGCAACAUCACCAUGGAUCAUGAUCAACAAUGUCUAAACAAAAAAGUUUUCUGAAUGUCUUUUACUUGAACACAAGUGGAAGUGGAUGAUGCUACCAUAUUAUCAAGGUGAAAGAUAUGGUAGGGCAUGCAAUUUGAGCAUCCAAACUAUUAAAAUUGAUCCGGACAUCUUUAAACGCAUAUAAGUAAUAACUCAAUAACUAUAAAUUGAAUCAGAACACAAUAUCAUACUAUUUAAAUUAUCCGCCAUGUAUCAACCUGUUGUCUACCUAGUUUCUUGGCAAUAUACGUGUUCGCCGAAGAUGUAGAUUUUCAUUUGAAAAGGUUUGUUAUUGAUUUUGUAUGGAAGUACUUGGGGCCAAUUACUUUUCGAGUACAAAGACACACACACACACCAGGACACACUUAAAUCUUCAUGGUUGAUAUUAAAACAUUUUGUAGCAGUAGGCACUGAACGCAUCUCUGAGAAAAUUGUUCAUAUUUGUUGUUCCUGUUGCUUGCAUUAGGUUUGAUUUUUGAUAUAGGUGCCUUACAUACUUUUACAGGAAUGGCUUAACUUUGCGAUAACACUAUUUUCGUUAAAUAGUCCUUUUGGACACGAGAUUUUUUGCCUCCAUAAAGGAGUAAGAAUAAAGUGAUAAAACUCAAUGAUGCCUAUCUAUGUAAAGAAGAAAUGCUCGGUCGUUCUUGAACUCUCUCAUUGUGGUUUGCUUCAUGUCACAGAAAUGGAAUGCUCCACUGCAUUGUAAAAAUUAUAUCAAGUACACUCCUAGGAGUAGAAUGGGGUCCAUUACAUUGCAUCAUCUCAGGUUCUCUCUUGGAGAGCCUAGCGUUUGGAAUCACAAAGCUGCUGAAUGAAGAGCAAUUUGUUGUCUUUUCAAGGAUCAAUUGAUCGAGAAAAAAAUUUGAUAGCUCAUUUAGGCCAAGUUAAGCAGAGGUUGAUUAUGAGUCAUCUUUCUGCAGUCCGAAGCAUUGCCAACUUCCUGAGUUUUUUGUACAUCACCAGAGGAACCUUUUUAUAUCCCAGAACAAUAAUCUUCCAAGAUUCCAGUUUUCAAGCGUUUAUAACUUUUUAAGGGACUUCAAUUCCUGCAACAGUAGGUUCAGCUGUGAUUCACAUAAAUUGGCCAUGUUUUGACAAUUCAAUUGAUGAUAACUAGCUAUUGAGGAUCUACUUAUCCUUUGCUUGAUAAUCCAAUCAAUGUUCCUAGCAAUUUUUACAUGCUCUAUUCCGAACUAAUCGAGUACACAAUGAACUGCUACAAAUUACAGAUUUUAGGCUUUAAAGACUUGGCACUCUUCGUUUCAUGUGACAACAGGCUGUCUGUUGAAUUAUUUGGAUUUCAUUGGGCAAGGUUCUUCUGGGGCAGCUUGUGUCUAACAUCAGUGUGCUGGGAGCUGUAAGUGCCUAUAGGUUGAUGCUUUUUUCUACUGAUAUUCUGAACAUUGCACUUUAGCUUACUCCACCUAAAAAACCUAUCAUGUGCAAAGUGACCAGCUAGUAAGGCAUCUUCCACAUUGCCACUAUGAUUUCCUCUCAACCUAUGAUUAGUUCGGGAAGACUCAUAAUAGGAAACAGCCCAAGAUCCCUUGCAGUGUGCGGUUUGCACCGCAGAGUGCCGCGCCGCACUCGAUGGCUGCCAUCAGAAGAUGGACAGGUGUGUAUGGCAUGCAAAGUUAUUUUGUUUGAUAGCCAUCCGAUGGUCAUUGAGUUCCGCAUGACAGACCAUUCACCAUAGAGGAUCUGUGCUCCUCAGUAGGAAAAGACCUUCCCAUUCUUUCAGAGAAUAGUUUGAGAAAGUCUGAAAUUUUUAUUCUUCUUGGAUGUGGGUGUUCCCUCCACUCAGCUUUCUUCCAGUCAGGAUAAGGGUCACUUACUAUAGUUUUUGAGUGCAUGCAGGCUCAUUGGUUGACCCUCUGAAACUCCCUUUCUUGCCUCCUCCUCACGGACAUUCUCCCAUCACGAGUGACACUUUUUGGUAAGAUAAAUCAAUUCUGAAAUGGAAGCUUCGAUUCUAGUUUGCUUUUCCUCUCCACCGUGAAUUGUGCUUCUCUGAGUAGUGACAGGACUUUCAUAGACUGCAGGACUAGAAUUCUAGGAGGUUAAAAAAAUAAUUGUUUCAAGAAAAAGGGGCUUUCUUACGAACUGGUAUUGGAGUUCAUGCUUUUCAAAAGGUUAGGGAUGUCUCCUCCAUCGUGGUUGUAGGGGAUGCACUUGUCCAAGUAGUGUGACACUUUCACUUCUGUGUUGACCUUCGCAAAUUGAGAACAUUCAGACCUUUCAUCAUAAAUAUAGCCAAAUGCUGAGGUCUUCCCUCAAAACAUAAUGAUUCAUUGAAUGCUAUCUUCACAGUUCAUUUGAUGACUUCUUUAUGGACUCCUUCCAUCACAAAGAUGGCCUGAGCACUGUAGCCAUGGCUAGCUAGCCUCAUUCCAGGCAUUGGCUUUUACGAGUCCUUUGUCACCGUCCAUUGUCAUCAGAGGUCAUGUUCUCAUUCAGUGCUAUGGAUGUCGAAGGAGCACCAGUAGAGAUCAAGCCAUUUGGAUGGUGCCAAUUGCUGCAAAAGUUACUUUCACAAAUAAGCCAAGACUAGGCUUGGGUAUAUAGAUGAGUGGCACGGCCAAAAAGACUUGGAUUUAAAUAUCUAAGCGCAUUUAGAUGCCAACACUAAAGUUCACCUUCCUUAGAUUCUUCAGAGUCACUGAGGCAUUGCCCAAGUUGUCACAUGGAGCUCAAUGUGAGGUUGAAAGUAGUCACCUUUUCGACAUUACAAGAGAAGAGCUACGGCUAUGGAGAAGUUUUAUAAGAGCUCAUGCCAUGUAACAUGAGGAAGUGGCAAAGCAGCAGGAGGGUGCUUUAGUGAUAAGUGGCUUCCACUGCCAUAUGAUUAUAGGAAACGCUAGGGUAAGGAGCAGCCAUAGAGCACUUUGUGAGUGUUGGGCUUCAUAAGGUCUCCCCUCAAAUAAGAGGCUCACAUGCGUGCAAAGGGGAAUCGUUGAGUUGACCUCUGACAAGUCCUCUUCUUUGUUUUUCUCCUCCGUUGCAUCGCACAUUCGUUACCUUCUAAUGAAACUCGGACUCUAGAUGUUGUUUUGAUUGUUCCCUACGUUAUCAUCAUUCACUAUAACCAUGUUUUGCCACAAAAGAGAAUAUGUCCCCAAUCUAGACACAUGAACUCACCUAUUUUAGACAUCUCCAGUGAUGAAGCACUGAGAUUUACUCAUCUAAAAUUAUAUGUUUUACCUUCUCCCUCGGCCGAGAUGAACUUGUUUUACAAGUGGAAUGAACAAGAAAAUCAUAAUCUUACAGGCUAGGAUUCGGGUCACUCAGGGAAACAUGGGAACAGAUGGAGCCACAAAGUUUUAAGAAUAACAAAAACGUAGGAAAAGAUGAUGUCUCAAAGUUUUAAAGGAUAACAAUGGAUGGGCUGAUGUGUUCGUAUUGACAAUAUGAACUACUUUUGUCCCCUAGUCGUUGACCUUUGGGCAUAUGGAUAGGCACGCGGACCAGAUACUCGUGGUUCUUCCUGUGGUCUUCUUCAAGUAAUGGUGAAAGGUUGAAAGAACCGUACUUCCACAUGAUGCAGCCCUGAUCUCGUUGAAACUUUAUCCAAAAGAACAGAGUCAGCUACCGCCAGUGAGCUUUGGUAGUCUANNNNNNNNNNNNNNNNNNNNNNNNNNNNNNNNNNNNNNNNNNNNNNNNNNNNNNNNNNNNNNNNNNNNNNNNNNNNNNNNNNNNNNNNNNNNNNNNNNNNNNNNNNNNNNNNNNNNNNNNNNNNNNNNNNNNNNNNNNNNNNNUAUAUAUAUAUAUAUAUUCUAGGCUACUUCACCGUUGAAGAAGUGAUUUGACCCCCUCUCCUUGCCUCUCUAUAUCUAUGGUUUUAUAUAAAUCCUGACGUAUUCUAUCUUGCAUUAUGUUUAGUGUUUUUCAAAGUCUCUGUUAAUUUAAUUAUUUAUCACUUCCCUUUGGCCGGGAAUUCUGCUUGUUUUUAUUUUUAUUUGUAAACUUCAUGAUGUAGAUGGGUUUGUCUAUAUUGUUUUUGGCCAGAAUGACCAUAAAAUAGCGAGACAUAUUUAUAGUUCUAAAUGAGUCAGUUUAAUAUAAUCGAAUUAUAAUUCUCGUUUUUUCAAUAGUUGGCACUUGACGAAACAUUUUGUCAUCAUUGAUCAACUUUAACAACAAUUAUGGCAUUUAGAGAUCGUCUAUUGUUCAAAGUCAACAUUAUGAGUUCAUGAGUGAGCUUAAGAACCAUGGACAAUUUGUGAUUUCCGUGAGUCAGCAGAACUCGCAGAUGUUUCAAUGGAUCUCAGAGUAAUGGGUGUACACGAGGCUGAAAAGAAGCUGAUUGUUGUUCCAAAGGUGAGGCUGCCUAAUUGGCUUAUCUUGGUGUUUUAAUUGGAAAGAUUCAAGAUUGUGAGGAAGAAAUGACAAUUUUCUCUGUACUGGCGCAAUUGAACUUAAGGUUGAAAGCAUAUGAUUUUCUUUACCCCCGGUAAUUGAAUUGUUUCUAUUUUCAUCAAAAAAACAAAAAAAAACAACUGUAGCUAUUAGGUAAUGGGAAUUUGCCAAUUAAAUUUCAAAGCAUAGUUGUUCUAGACAAUUCACUCUAUUCGGUAUUUUUAUUCAAAUGGAACAAGAUGAUUACACAUCUAGCUAUUGCGAUCGGCGAUAAUUCAGCGUUUGCUUCUUCGUUAGGUGCAAGAGAGCUGUAACCUCUGUGUUUAAAUCCUCUAGCUGCCUGCUCAAUCCUCUUAUGCUGCAGAACUCGUUAUGAUUUGACUAGGUGGCUUGCUGAAUCAGAUUAUGAUCUCUUGAAAAUGAGAACUUUUAAUGGUGGGAGUUCAGCUUAAUCCUACCAUUUACCAAAAGGUGUUUCUAUUCCCUGCAACUAUGAAUUAUAAUAUAUUUUGUUAGUUACAUGGUUUGAGGAAAAGAUAGUAUAGUUACAGAAUAGCUCUUACUACAUGUUAUAUUUGAAAAGAAACCACACAAGAGCUUAAUCAGAAACACAAGAUUGCGUUUUACUCUCUAAUCUCCACUAAGCUAAAAAAACUUAGAAUAUUUGGUGGCACAAUUUCAUUGCAGAGGAGGCAUAGCUCAUUAGGCAUUGCUCUAAAUCCCUAUUAAUCAAUUGAUUGUAUUGCCCUGUCUCACCGAGACACGAGGCAUCAAUCAUUGAUGGCCUGAAAGAUACUGGCUUCUCUUUCCCUCCCUGAAGCUCUAAAAUUCCUCUCUUUAAUGCAUGGGACAAACCUUCAACAGUGUAGGGUUCAGGUGUGUGCUGGAAUCUAGAGGCGGAGGGGAUUUAGUUUGAAGCCUGUUUCUUUCUUUAUGUCAUGUCCAUUUCAGGGACCUAGGCAAGUGAGCUUUCUUCCCCAUUAGAUUCUAGAGUUAUGUGUCCUUUUCUCCUAUCAUUUCACCAUCACUUGAUUGUAUAUCCCAUGUAGUAUACCUAACUGCGUUCCAACUCUCGCAAAAGUUUGUGUUUGGUAUGAGGAAAGGUUUUGGAAUUCAGGAGAGAGAAAAGAAAAAUCAAAAGUUUGAAAAUCUUUGAAAAUUAUCAAUGAGAAUGCCAAUAAAAUAUGAAAAAUGAAAGGUUGUCGAACAAUCAUUUAUUCACAUGGAAUCAAAUUCGAGAGAUGCUGAUGAAAAAAAGGAACACCAUCAUCAACAACAUAUAAUAGCGGUAACUUAUAAUUUAUAUAGAUUCCUUUGACAUGGUUGUCAAUAAUUUGUAAAUAAAUUGUAAUAUUUGUAAACAAUGCAUGGAAUAAUUGAGUAUUUCUUGAUAUUUGCAUUUGCUAAGGAUAAUUUGAAGAAUCAUUUGGUGAAGGAAAAAUCUAGAAUUGUUUGAGGAUUUUUUUUGAAAAGAAUAUUAUUUUACUAGAAUCUAACACAAGACAUCAACGUAUUGGUUUUUAUUUCCAUAGAUCUUAUCCUUUGAUUUUGAAAAGAAAAGGUCAUAACAAACCACAUUUUGAUUGAAGUUUAUGUUGGAGCCAUAAAACAAUUAUCACAUUCAAGAUGGUUUUCCAUCACCAUACAGAGAUUUUUGUAAACUACUAAUAUUAGAAUUUUGAAUAUGGUUCAUUAAGUUAAUUCUAUGCAAAAAGAGACAUUCUGGUACACUAAUUUGUCUUAUUAACUUGGCGCUUUUGUUAGCAAGAAUCUUUUAUGAAAGAAUGACAACAAAAAUGAGAACCAUGCAUUAAAAAGAGUCGGAAACAUUUUGGUCAAAAUUGGUCGGGGCAAGGUUGGUGGUAAAAUCUAGUGCAUUGGCAACAAAGUCCAAGGUCAUGUCCCCCACCCUUCUCAUCUUGGUCUCUUCAAUGUUUAGCUUCAAAUUCUCAGAUUCCUUCCAAGCGAGCAUGGAUGGAGCCGCCCCUUAUCCACAAAUCUCGCACCUCAACCACUCAUCCCAGCCACCAACCUCGGCCUCCACGUCUCAUCAUCCCCAUGGGUUCUGCCCAAGGCCACGUCUUCACCACUCCCCAAGAAGGCCUGGAAAAAUUUGGACUGCAAAGCAAUCCCCAAUACUAUCUCUCCACGUGUCCUUUAGGUGGGCCCAAUCUAAAUCAAAUAUUUCAGGCUUCUUCGUGUGUGCUCUCAUACCAUAUUGAAAUCACCACUUAUCCUAAAAGAUUAAGCUGGUAGGAUGAAAUAUAAAAUAUAAUAUAAAAAUAAUAAAUAUUAAUUAUAUUAAUAUUAAUAUCGCUAUGGAAGACAGGAAGGGAGAUGAAGAAGUAUCUACAAGUGAGUUUUGGUAACAUUGUAAUCAUAAAAUAAUAAAAAAAAAGUUGACCCCCAAAAAUGAAGGCGAAGACGAGACCUACUUCAACAUCACGGAUGAAAAGAAAAGGAAUAGACGACGAAAUAUGUAACAACUUUAUGCCUUGCGGACAUUCAGAUUAGAGGAAGAUUUUUUUUUAAAAAAAAGGAAAAAAAAAUACAAGGACCAAGCUUGAGUAUUUGUCAAUAUAUGUGCGCGGUUUAGUCAACGGGCGAUUUCCGACUUGGGCGAGUGGCCUAACUGCUCCAUCUCCCAACUGAGCUUCGGUGCAACGCCGUCGUGCAUCGGCAUGUAUUCCUGCAUGUCAUGAAACAAUUGAGAACUGUUUCAUUCCUUAUUUGUCUUUUCAGAAACUAUAGCCUUCUAAAUAUAAAAAUUAAAUUUUUUUUUAAAAAAAAAGCUUGUAGUGACCCAUUACCCAUUCAACUUUUUCCCAAAAAAAAAAAGUUAAGAUGAUCUUUCUAAAUAGUCUUGAUACAGUUAGUAACUUAAGACACAAUCUUUUUCCAUUACAAUCUAAUGGCGAGUGCUUAUAAAGUUAGCCAUUUCAUAUUAUUUCUUUACACACAGUAAUGCUUGCUUGUAUACUAGCUUAUAUUUUCAUACAUAUUUUUCCUUGUUAUAUAGAUAAAACAAAGAAAAAUAUUUGGUCAACAAGAUUAAAUAUAAAUUACUGCCAAUUCUAUGGUCAGAAAUAAAGAAAAGAGUUUUACCUUCAAACAGAUAGUGGGACAUAAUAAUUGUUUACCAAUCAAAAAGUUGACAUCUUCAUUAUGUUAAAGAAAAAAACAUGAUAAGAUUUAGGUAUAAAUAUGAGAAAUAAAUAUAAAAAAAUAAAAUAUAUAAAUAAAUCUAUCUUAUUCUGUUAGCUUAAAUUUUUGGGAUAAGUGGUAAUUUUUAACAUGAUGUCAGAGCUUAAGUUUUUGGAAUAAGCGGUGAUUUUAACAAUAAAUUAUAACUUCAAAAUAUUGCGGUGAUCAAGAAUACAUUAUAGAAGAAAGAGAUAGAAAAGAAGGAAAAACUUUCUAACCAAAUUAAGUAUGGAUGGGAAAAUUUAUGAAAGACUGGUGGGAAGGGAGAGCAACAAAAUACCUCAAGCUUGUAUAAUAACUCAUGGGCAGUUUGGGCAGAGAUGAUGAUAUGGCGGGCAGCAGGUGUAACAAAUCCUUCAUCUACAGCCUUGUCAAUGAAUGACAGCAGAGAGUUGUAGUAGCCAUCAACGUUCAACAGACCUACCUGUCCAAAACAAACGCCCACGCACGUAUAUAUUAAGACGAUAUACUACCAUUCGCAGUGCCAUUUUUGUAGCUACCAGGCGAUUAAUAUAUCCGUGUGACAAAGCAAGAAGAGCCAGGGGAAGAAAAAUUGGGAGGCUAAAGACUAUUCAAAUCUUAAAUGAAUGGGCUUCUGCUUGUGAGAAGUAUAAGAAAUAUAAACAAUUAAGGGGUCUUACUGGCUUGUCAUGGAUUCCCAGCUGAGCCCAGGUUAUCACUUCAAGGAGUUCUUCCAGGGUCCCAUAACCACCUAAUCAAAAAAAAAAAAACUCAAAAUUUAAAGUAAUGGGCAUGCAUCUCACACAUGUAGCUACUAGUGUUAAAAAAAAAAAAGGAACACCAUAAUUGGAGCCUUGGCUUGGAAACAGUCUCAAUCUGAUGCCUCAAAAAAUAUAUGUAACAACUUGACCCUGAAAACUCAGCAAAUCAUCGAUCCGGAUGUAAUAAUCAUCCAAUCAAGAUGACUUUUGAGCUAUCAGGAUCUUUCAUAGGUUAAUGAGGGCCAAUAUUUUCCAGAAUUGAACUUUGGAUCCAGCAAAAUAGCAUUCUGGAUUGCACAAGCCAAAAAAGUUGAUACACUGUACAGAUCCAAGAUUUGUUGAUGUUAUGCGAAACUAGGAUGCUUGUGCGCAGGACAACACUGAUCAUUCCUACUGGUGACUCCCUUUUUAAGUUCACUUUGUGGAUCCUUACCGGGCAAAGCGAUGAAGGCGUCCGCAUGGCGAGCCAUCUCGGCCUUCCUUUGGUGCAUGCCUGAGACUGCUCUCACCUCUCCUACAGUCUCUCCUGUUAUCUGGAAUAUCCAAAUCUAUUUAGUUACUCUAGAGAACUAAACUAAAUGAUAAUUAUGUAGAAGCGAUAAAUUAUCGAUCGAGCAGUUUUAUUUUUUGGAAUUACUUCUUGAUGGUUGUAUUGUAACAGAUACGAACUGUAUGCAGAGAGGGAAAAAAAUUUCUGUAAAACUGUAUUUAGAGAGAAGAAAAGGAUAAAGAAGGGGAAAAAAUAUAUAUGAUACCUCUCGGGGCAUGAGAGUUUUGGGAAUGACCCUGCAAGACACCCAAAAACCAGACGAGUUAUUGUUUGACUCUCAGAGAGAGAGAGAGAGCGAGCGAGCGAGCGAGAGAGCGAGCGAGCGAGAGAGAGAGAGAGAGAGAGAGACGACCCGAACCCAAACAGUNNNNNNNNNNNNNNNNNNNNGAGAGAGAGAGAGAGAGAGAGAGAGACCGACCCCAAAACAUGGCGGCCUCCAUCAUAGACCGCUUGGGAGACAAGGCCCAUGAGACCAACACUUCCCCCACCAUAAACCAAGUCUAUGUUCCUCUCCACCUGCAAACAAAGCAUGAGCAGAAAACAGAGCAUGAUCCUAUAUCAGUUUUUAUAAACAAUUCCACUUCUAAGAAAAAAAAAGGAGCAAUACUCCAAAUGGAUUUUGUUCCAGACGACCAUCUCAGCUCACAUUUGGUGAUUCAAUCCUCUAAUUUGGCCAACUGUCCUCCCUUUUGUCCUCCUCUUGUGAGGUUAGCACCAUUAACCUCACAAGUGGUGAUUCUAAAGCAUAAUUACAAGAAGAAGAAGAAGAAGAAGAAGGAUAAAAGACUGACCAGUUCAUGGCCGAGCUGGAUGGCAGCAAGCUGGUAGCUGGGCUUGUUUCCAGGGCUACUGCCACAGAAGACACACACCCUUCUGAACCUAGAGGAGGACCUUUUGGGCAUCAAUUGGCUUGGCGGCAGAGUCUGUGCUUGGGUUUCCAUGAAGCCAACCAAAGGAUAGCUCAAAUAUUUGGAACUCAGGACCUCUCUGUUCCUAUCCUAUAAGGUUUUAGUGAGCUUUAUGUGAGACUCUGCUCCUCUUUCCCUACAGUAUUCUGUUUCUCCCCCCUUCAGCUUCCUCUUGUAUUUAUCAUGAGAGCCACAGUACAGAGAGAGAGAGAGGAAGAUAGGCUUUCUUUGGAGGCCUUUUAAACCCAUUGACUGCCUGGAAAAAUUUGUGUGGAGUUUGGACUUUGGACUUUAUUUUUCCAGAACGAAAAAACCAUAAUUGAUUAUAACAAAUAAGGUAGGCUUAUAUGGUAUGUAUGGGGACUCGUUAGGUGAAUGUUAAACAUUCCGCAGGAACAUCCAACCAUGCGUUUUGAUAGGGUAGUACAGGAUGACACCAUCUCUUUGUCACCUUGUUUUCUUGCUUCUCGUUCUAUUCUAUUUUUAAUAGAUUUUUAGCCCGUUCAGAUGCAGCCGUGUCAUCGCGAUGGGAUGGACCUUCAGCUUUUUCGUUGUGGCAUGUUUCCCGCGUGGGAAACCAUCCACCCUGUCGAAGGAUAACUAAUAUAAAUUGAAAAAUUAAGAUUAAGAAGAUAUUUUUUAAAAUACAUUCAUUGCUCGUAUUAUAAAUUGAAAAUAUAGCAAUAUCAAGAAAUAUUAAUAUAAGAGAUAUAAACUUAAUAUAAAAGAUUAAAUAAGCUAUGCAAAUAGUGAUCUUGUUAAAUAAUAGUUAUUGGGUCCCAUGAUACCAUAAAGUCAUCAUAAUAGGUAUACAAUAAUAUGCUCAUUUUCUUAUUUAUUAGACGAAUGGCUUGGUGGCUACAUGUUCGCGCUCGAGCUAUGAAUAAUUUCAGUCUUCUUAUAUUUCAAAAGAAUUAUUUUUAAUAUAUCUAGAUAUAUAAUUAUAAAAAACUUAUUUAAUAUUUUCAAAUAAUUUUUUUUGAUGAAAUUAUAAUCGUCUAUUAGUUUUAUAACUCUUCUUUUUUGAUAAUGCUAUAUGCGUCAUACAUGCCAAUUUUUUCUUCUAUUUAUCAAUUUUUUCUUAUAUAUAUUUAUUGUAAAAAUUAUGAUAUCAUCCAACCAAUUAAAUCUCCGUGUAGCAGCCCAGUAUAAUAUCAUGUAGAAGGUUAUUGCAUGACGGGAGAGCAUGUAAGCAAAUUAAAAAAAAUAUUUUUUUGAUAUUUUUUUUAAAAUUUUUGAUGAAAACUUAAAGAGCAUUAUCAACAAUUGACAAUGAUCCAAUUUUCAAAAGAAAAUCGGUGUAGUUCCAAAUGAAUCAAACAUGUGGAGAGUAUGAUUUCUAUUAAUUCAAGAACUGACAACUUUGUUUUUAUCCCCUCUCCAACUUCUUCCUUUCUUCUUUUUUUUUUGCCAUGACUCCAACUUCUUUCUUUGUCAAUGCAAAUAUUCCUGGAAGCUGCAAACUUUCGGCGGGCCGGCGUUUGCUUCAACAUCCUUCAGCCAAGCAGGCGAUUCCUUUUCCGAAACUUUUUAACCUUUCCGACCCUCAUCCAGAGAUGGAGGACGCUUUCAACUUUGAAGAGGAAUAUCACAUGCUCUCUCCACCCUUCUUCAUGGCCUUCUUCGCCUCUUAUGAGUUCUAACACUACAUUGUGAUGUGAUGUUGGCCCACAACCAAAGGCAAUGGAGGAGUGGAUGGAACAGAUCAAUUAAAGUGUCCCCUCGGAGGACUGAAAUCUUCCUGCCUUGCUGCUUUUCCUAAAGCCGAAGGCUAAAUGGAUACCAACGUUGGUAGGGAAAGGCUUAAAAGAAGACACUACCGCAUGCUGUUCUUUCUGUAACCAUGCAUUUUUCCGCUGGCCAUCCAUUCAUCCACCUCCUUUCUUGUGUCACAUCUUAUUUUGAUACAAUAGCAUUGCUAGAUAGGCAUGCAUGUAAUUUUAGGGCUAAAAGCGAGUCGGGUUAUAUCCAACUGUAUCCUUUUUCGUAUUCGAUUCAGAUUGGAUUCAGAUACUAAUUUUUUAGUCCGAUCAGAUCCAGAUACGAAUCGGAUACUCGAUUUAAAAAUCUUCUGGACUCGGAUACAAAUGCAGAUACCCCCGAUUUUUUUUUUAGAUUUGGAUCUAGAUCCAAAUAUCCGUAUAACAAAGGAAGUGAAAAGAAAAAAUCUAAGUUAAGUCAGAAAAUUAAUUAAGUGAUUAACCAAAUCUAAACUAAAAAAAAAUCAUAUAUCAGAUGCCUGUCACUUAUGACGGUAACAUAAAUAUAAAAAAUUUAAAUAAAAUUCUUCGAAUCACCACGCAUGCCUAAAAUGCUCAAAUCUUUUGUUCGUCCGUUUUGUCUCUCUUUUCUCUUCGUCGUUUUCCAGCAACCAGGGUUUUGAAGAUUCCGUCCACUUUUUAGUUUUCACCGACAAUUGUAACUAGCGAAAGCCAUGAUGCCUUGGAGAUACCAUAGAUCCCGUCUAUUUCGGUGAUAAGCAACCUUGAGCGGUAUAUCAUGUAUAAAAUUGUUGGUUUUUAUUAUUGAUAAAAGUUUAUUAAAAUUAUUUUUUUAAUUGAUUUUUUUUUUUACGGUCAUAUCUUUGUUGCUAGUUUUCAUUAUUGAAUUUUGCUCAAAUUUAAUUAAUAUCCAAAAAAAAUAUCUGAUUUAUAUCCGUAUUCGGAUAGAAAAAUAUGAAUAUGUUUAAUAUCUGAUUCAUAUCCAUAUCUAUUUAGAAUAAAUAUGGAUAUUAAUAUUAAUAUUUGUUUAAUAUCGGUAUCUGUAUUCGUAUUUAUUAAAAAAUAUGGAAAUAAAUAUGAAUAUAUCAAUAUGCGAUCUGUUUUCAGCCCUAUGUAAUUUGCAGUCAUGCAUCAACUUGGCAAGAAGGAAUGCAGCUUUUCUUGGCUUAAACAAGCUUAUUCAGGCUUGUCUCAUGGCAUUUCAGGCUUGGUCUUUAGUCGGGAUAUAAAGAAAAAAUUUCAAGUCUAAGCUCGGCCAAAAUAAGAAAAAUUCCAAGCUGAGCUUGAGCGGCGAUGUGGCCCAAGCCGGCCUAGCCUGAUUUCUCUCUUUCUUUCUUCUGCUUCUUCUUUCUUACUUACUCCAGUUGGAGCCAGACAGGUAUAAGCUAUUUCCCGAGACAUUCAUAAGAUCCCUCAUGGUCAUGGGCGUAUGGGAUUAGUGCGACAUGACCAGAAUCACUUGCAUCUACAAGGAUAUGCUGAAGAGGACAACGAAACCUAUGAGUGAAUGCGAGAUAUAGUAUUGAUUUGGUUGUUUUCAAAAGGAAAGCAUCCCCAAAACUGGGUCCACGGACAUGUUUUCCGCAUGGGAUUUUUAUAUAAUGUUGGAUCUUCCUUUCUAUAAAAUUUAUAUUAUUUUGUCAAAAGUUGCAUUCCAUCAAUGAAAGCCAAAACCAUGAUAUCGCACCAUAGCCAAGUUCCACAAGGGACAUUACAACCCACCAACUUAGUCGAGAAGAUGGUUUUAACGAAUUCUUGGCAAUUUUUUGAUCGGACAUAUAUAUAUAUAUAUAUAUAUAUAUAUAUAUAUAUAUAUANNNNNNNNNNNNNNNNNNNNNNNNNNNNNNNNNNNNAUGACCCGUGCAGGCAUAUGUUUAGUUCCACAUCGGUUAUUCGCUAGGUAGAUUUUGAGUAUAAGAAACUCAAAUAAUACCUUUCGGCUAACUAUUUUGGAUGAAGUUCUGAAUUGUUACAUAUAUCGAUGUAUUUGAGAGGAAUUAAAAUAAUGUGCCUAGAGUACCAAAGGAGAUAGUAAUUGUUUUUCUAUUUAAGCAAUUGUUUAAGAUGAUCCUCCCCAAGGAAUAGAAAAGAAUUACAAAUCAAUAGAAAUAUGGCUUGAAGAAUACAUUACAUUAAGACCAUUUUUAUUUUCUUUUAUCUUACUACUCUUAUUGAAAAUUAUUCCACAUUACCUAAUGCAAGCCUUUUUUUACUUUGCAGACAUUUAUACACAAAACUUCCACUAUUACGCUAGUCUUAUUCCUUUUCCAUUAGUUUAUUUACAAUACUUUAAUCGCUAAUAUUCUGUCCAAAACCACUUUUUUAAAGUGGCUAAGAGUUCUCUCAAGAUUUAAUUUAUGUACAUUUGGAUGGGACAAACUGCGGACUGUUGGCACAUAACAUUUUUGAAUUUGUAUCUAACUGGACAACUGGAUCUAUUCAAUACAUUAAAAUACAUUGACCCGGAAAUCUUGGGACACUCUCUGUAGCAGCAUUACAGCUAUAUAGUUAGUGUAGGAGUAGAAUAGUUGCCCACACUUGCAAUGCUUUUGUAGAGGAAGCUUCAUAUGCCUCUGAAUAUCAUAAAUAUAGAAGAUAAAUUGUACUGCAGCCAAACUACAAAACUAUGCCAAGCUUUUAGUGACCUACACAAGUGGCAAGCUUCAUAAACUAGCUUGCAUGUGCAUUAACUUAUUGCAAAAUAAUUAUACUAUUAUUUUAUCUAUAGUAGAACCGUGAGAAACCUUAUCAUUAUUCUCAAAAGAGGAAGAGAAAUAAAGAAUGCGAGAAACCAAAUUUCCGGUCCUAUGAUUAAUAAUAACUUAAUAUAUAGUCAUAUUGACCAACUUUUUUUUUUUUU